Molecule: long non-coding RNA, 67307 nt
Filed under: Triticum aestivum (bread wheat)
Lineage: Eukaryota; Viridiplantae; Streptophyta; Magnoliopsida; Poales; Poaceae
Description: long non-coding RNA (TAES_LNC013938)
Source: RNAcentral
UGGAAGCAUAAAUUUUUAGAUCAGUGAUAAGAUAAAUCCUGUGUACCGGUGCUUAGUAGCUAGCGAAAUGCGGCUGGUAUUUUUGGUCUGUAUGUAGGUAGCUUCCUGAUGUGUGUGGCUGUGUGUUCAUUCACACAGACCUGAACUUAUUUAUGUUUUUCGUUGGCUUCAUUUUAGUAAAGAUGGGGUGGGGAAAAACUACACCCUAUAUAUGUAAGUUGACUGAAAAUAAUAAUAUGUUCCAGUAGCUAUAUUUCUUCGGUUCCUAACAUGGUUGUAGGCUAGAUGUUCCUCUUGGUUUGUCUUGCUAUAGAACCUGCCCCUAUUCAUCUGUUACACAUUUUGUGUAGCUAUUAAGGAAGAAAGUAAUGGACAUUCACAGGUCAGAGUCUCCCCAUCAGCAUUUGAUGGCAGGAGCCGCUGCUUUACAGAAGAUGGAUGUGAAACCAAAAUCAUAUUUUACUAACUUUUAUUUACUUCAUAUUAUCAUUUAGCAGUAUGUUGGUUGUGCCUCCCCGUGAUCAAUGUAGAUCUUCUGCAGAUGUAGUGCAUGCAGUUCUCUCAGGCGUUAAACUUCUCAAUGGUUGACCAUGGAAAAUCUGUGUAGCUCUUGUUUUCUCCAUAUGUUUCUGGUUUCGAGCUCUUACUCCUUUUGAAAUUACCAUCUUUAAACAUUGUAGAUUCCAAUCUCUUGUGUAUUUACAUCAAAGACUGUUUUCGAAUGCUUAUUAUGUACUAAACUCCCUGCCCCCUCCUUCUGUCACAUGUGUUGUUCCCUUGUCAUCAGUGAGCUCGAGAAAACACAACUACAAGGUACAGAAUAGUUGCCACUUAGUUAGCAUUUUAGUUAACAUUGUAGACAUGUUAGUAACACUAUAAUGUUGGACAAUAAAUGAAUUCGACUACAUCCAAAGGAACUUAUCUUGCUUCCAAGAAUAGUAAAAUCAUCUUUAAUAUUUUUCCAAAUUUCGCUUAUAUUCAUAUUUCUUAACAUGUUUGGAAUGCCGUUUCCUCCGAAAUGCAGCAUUUACCUUCCAUUUGGAGCAUAGGAUGCAUUUUUAUCAGUUCCUGACUGAAAUAACCACUUUUCUGAUAAAAAUGCUAUCCAUCAGUUAGACUUGAUUAAUUGUCUUCUAGACACACCUUCAAAUAUAUAUAAGUUCUCUGAUAAGGUAGUUGUGGGAAGACUUAUUUUUGGUUUACAUUGUAAAAAAAUUCAAUGACCACAGAUUUGACUUUCUUUUUUGCUUCUUUUCAGCUUUCAGGUCCUAAAUGAGAAGGUAAGGAUGUACUUGAGCAGUAUGAGAAGACCCAGUUCCAUCAUCUCAGAAGCUAGAAGUUCCCCAUUUAAUAUCUUUCAUUCUGAAAUUUGUUUAAGAAGAUGGUCAUUCUUCUAUUAGCAGCACGAUUAUGUGUCAAUUGUAGAUUCUUAAUUGCUUAGAAAUAUUUUAUAUGUUUGAUUCCUUCGAUUCAUAUUUAUUCAACAACAAAAUAUUUUCAAGAUUGGUCCGUUUGAGGAUCAAAUUUCAGACGUGUUAAUUGAUGUGGUAUCAAGCUAAGUCUGUUGAUACCUUGCUCUCCUUUUUGCUUUGCACAAUUAUUCUCGUCACUGGAGAUGUAUAUUAAUCUUCUAGCUUUGCUCAUUUUAUCUUUUAGUUUCAUCUUAGUUGAUAGAAUAUUGUGCCAUGUGUUCACAAAUUACAUGGUCUUGUGGACUAUUUCUUCCGUUGCAACGCACGGGCCUUUUGCUAGUAAUAAUAAAAAGGAAAAACAACAAACAAACAAAAAAACAGAUGAUGAUUUCAAUUUAGAUGUGACAUAAGAAUGUCACAUCUAGAUGAGUCCUAGACAGACCCUUUGGUUAAUCUUGUGCGUAUAUACGCACGAUAGAGUCCAAACUCAGUCGGACACGUAGAUCACCUUCUCUAAACUAAUUCGAACUUUUGGUAACAACACUUGAAAUUUGACUCCUCAAAUCUGACGUUUCGUUUGCCGUGUGACCGUGCCGGGAAUUCAAUUUUCUCUUGCAUGGCGUGCUCCUCGGCUGCAAACCAAAUAAGGAAUAUUUUGCAGAAACUGUUAAGAGUGACCUAGUUAUAUGAAGCUCAUCAUCAUGCAAGCCCAUAUGAAAUCAUAUAUAAGUCCAUAAAAUUUACGUCGUGCAAAGGACUCUAUUAGAAAUACCAGCGACGGUCCAUGCUGAUUACAUAGCCAGCAAUAAGCCAGCUAGAAGCUCCCCGCAAAAAAAAAAGCUAUCGAGAUUUUUAUAAAUUUACCAUUUAAUUCUUCUAAUUUCUAAGGCUUGUUAUUUUAGCCAUAAGCAUGAUUAAAUCCAACUAUGAUUAGAUUGUAUUUUGGAAUAUUUAUUUCACUAAUUAAAUCAAAUGGAAACUCAAAAUAAAGGAGUCAUGAUUUAAUUAUUGAUGCCUAAACCUCGCAAAGGAGAAAUUUGGUAAAACACAAGGAAAGAAGGACGCUAAAAUUUUAGUUGGUGGAACUUAUCAGACAACAUUGAACCGAUUGUUAGCUUUGUUUUGUCAAAAUUGCUCAGGAGAAUUGUGAACAUUAAAUUCCUCCCAAUAAAAGCACAAAUCAACCACAAAAAAUAAAGAUACAUGUGCCAGAAAUAAGCUAGGUAUAUGCUAGAUAAUAAUCCAUAAAAAGCAAAACACUUGUUCUUCCAUUAAGUGUAUGUCUGCGUCUUCUCAUAAAACAGAAGUGUGUUUCUGACAAAUAACUGAAUACUUAUGCAAAAACAAGCUAACUAGAUUUGGACUAGAGAAGGAAUAAAAAAGAUUACAUCAAAGUCCUCCGUGUCCCACCAUGGGUAUUCAACAAGUGUUCCCAUGUCGGGGUUAUAAUACGCCAAGUUAUUCAUGUCAACCAUAAUAUUAUCUCCUUGACUAGUUUGACGCUGAAGAUCUGAUAAUCCGCCUUGGUACACUAUCUCAUCAUCAAAUGUGGCUAGCAGACGAACAGAAGAUGAAAAGCCAAAAGCAUAGUGUUGCUCCCACUGUUGCGGUUUGUUGCCUUCCGCAUCAGCGCACAUCCAUAUCUCAACUGAUCCAUAGGUGGGCGCUAGACGAAGGACGGCUAACUCACCGUUCAACUCAGCUACGCUGUAUUCUGAAUAGGGAGUGUGAAGAGCAUUUGGGGAAUUUCUGGAUCGUUCCACCCCGAUCCAUUCUUUCUGCUGAUUUAUAUAUUGUUUUUACAAUUUACAUUUUAGACCCUAUAGACUCACCUAAUUACAUUAUCUACACACCAACACCCCCCCUUAAGAUGGGGUGAAUAUGUCGUACAAACUCAUCUUGCUACAAAACAUGGAAAAAGUCUUUUCUAAGAGUCCUUUUGUAAGUACAUCUGCUACUUGACUUGACGAAGUUACAUAUGGUAGGCAAAUUAUUCCUCUAUCAAGCUUCUCCUUGAUGAAAUGACGAUCAAUUUCUAUGUGCUUGGUACGGUCAUGUUGAACGGGGUUAUUUGCAAUGUCAAUGGCAGCUUUGUUGUCACAGUACAACAUCAAAGGCUUGUACUUAUACAACCGCAGCUCUGUUAGGAGAAUCUGCAACCAUAAUAACUCACAUAUGCCGUGAGCCAUAGACCUAAACUCGGCCUCUGCAGUAGACCGAGCCACCACACUUUGUUUCUUACUUCGCUAUGAAACUAGGUUUCCUCCAAUAAAUGUACAGUAACCAGAUGUUGAGCACCUGUCAUCUAGGGAACCAGCCCAAUCAGCAUCAGUGUAGCACUCAACUUGCAAGUCCCCUUGUUUGGUAUAUAAGAGGCCUUUUUCUGGGCACCCUUUAAGAUACCGUAGGAUCCUAUUUACAGCUUCCAUAUGAACUGAUUUUGGGUCAUGCAUGUAUUGGCUAACUACACUCACAGCAAAGGCAAUAUCUGGACGGGUAUGAGAUAAAUAUAUUAACCUUCCAACUAGUCUCUGGUAGCGCUCUCGAUCCACUGGUGUCCCAGCAUCACUACAUAACCGAUGAUUUUGCUCAAUAGGUGUAGCAGCAGGUCGACAACCAAGCAUACCUGUUUCCUUGAGCAGAUCCAAGAUAUAUUUUCGCUGCGAGAGAAAAAUACCUUUUGACCCUCGUGAUACCUCUAUACCAAGAAAAUAUCUUAGUUGUCCCAAGUCCUUCACUUCAAACUCAUGUGCAAGAUGACACUUCAGAUCUGCAACUUCCUUGGAAUCAUCUCCAGUAAUCAAAAUGUCAUCGACAUACACUAUCAAGAUUGCAACCUUGCCAUUAGUAUGCUUGUAAAAUAGCGUAUGGUCAGCAUUACUUUGAAGAUAACCCCUCUUUAGCAUAGCAUGUCUAAACCGAUCAAACCAAGCACGUGGUGAUUGCUUUAAGCUGUAUAAAGAACGAUGUAGGCGCAAUACCUUUCCAACAGUUUGACUUGACUCAAAUCCAGGUGGUAUAUGCAUGUAUACUUCUUCUUGGAGAUCACCAUGAAGGAAAGCAUUCUUCACAUCCAUCUGGUAAAUAUCCCAAUCAAGGUUUACAGCACAUGAUAUAAGUGUCCUUACUGAAUUCAUCUUUGCCACCGGUGCAAAGGUCUCUUCAUAAUCGAUUCCAUAUGUUUGCGUGUAGCCUUUUGCUACAAGGCGGGCUUUGUACCUCUCCACCUUGCCCUCGGGGGUGUGUUUAAUAGUGAAGACCCACUUACAACCUACAGGUUGCUUACUUGGUGGUAGAUCCACAAGCUCCCAAGUCUCAUUCUUCUCCAAGGCUUUCAUCUCAUCAAGCAUUGCUUCCUUCCAAUUUGGGUCCUCUAUAGCUAUUUUCCAGUUUGAUGGUAUGGAGAUAGAAUCUAAAGAUGCAAUAAAGCUUUUGAAGGGUGGAGUACAAUAUUUAUAGGAAAUGAAAUUGGCUAUAUCAUGUUUAAAAUCCUUGAGGUGUCCUGGAAUAUUUCGAUUUCUAGUAGGUUUCCUCACAGCAAUAGGUAGGUCAUUUUCAGGAGCAAGGAUAGAUAACUGGUUAUCGCUCUGCCUUGUGGUGCUAAUAGGAGCGACUAGACUAGAGGGAUUAUUGUUAGUACCUGGAUCCUCAUGCCUGUGAAGCUCACCAUCUUGUGAAGGAAGUAAAGAGUUUCCUGUUGCAUCUUGUAUGUCUCCAUGACCAGAACCAUGAUUACACCCAUCACUAUUUGUGUCCUCCCCCUGAUUUUGAGCAUUAUCUAGAGUAGGUAAACCAUCCGAAGUGGAAACAAGAAUAGGGCUUAAUGGAGAGCCUUCAUUAUCCCCCUCCCCUUCUUGUUGCACUUCAGGUGGAGAUAGGGCAAUGCCAGUGUCACUGGUUAAGCCAUAAUAUGAUUCAUGUUCACGGAAUGUCACAUCCAUGCUCACAAAAAAACGGUGCUCCAAAGGGCACCAACACCUAUAACCCUUUUGAGAGGGAGAAUAACCCAUGAAAAUACAUUUGAGAGCACGGGGAUCUAAUUUUCCAACAUAGUUCCUAUAAUCAUGCACAAAGCAAACACACCCAAAGACCUUUGGAGGAACUACAAAAUCAUUAGAUUUCAAGAGACACUCAGCAGGAGUCUUAUGGCCAAGAACCCAAAGAGGCAUACGGUUUAUCAAAUAUGUUGCAGUUUUUAUUGCUUCCCCCCAAAGAAAUUUAGGCACGUUCAUUGUAAACAUAAGUGAGCGUGCAACCUCAAGCAAAUGUCUAUUUUUACACUCUGCAACACCAUUUUGUUUUGGAGUGUUAACACAGGUAGUUUGAUGUUCAAUGCCGUUUGAGACAAGGAACUGUUCAAACUCCUGGUUCAUGUAUUCUGUACCAUUGUCUGAACGUAAGGUUUUAAUAGUUGCCCCAUGUUGAUUUUUAAUGAGAGCAUAUAGAUCUUUAAAAACUAAGCACACAUCACUCUUAUGCUUCAAGAGAUAGAGCCAAGUGUAACGACUAAAGCAAUCGAUAAAAGUUACAAACCAUCGAUGCCCAGAGAUCGAACGAACCUCACAGGGUCCCCAAACAUCUGAGUGAAUUAUUUCAAAUGGUUUGGCACUUCUUAAUCCUAUACUAGGAUAUGAACCUCUUGUAUGUUUAGCCAAUUCACAAGCAUCACAUACAAGCAGUUCCCUAGGGCACAACUUGAAAAGUGAGGGGUAAAUACGAAACAAUGCAGCAAAAGAGAGAUGCCCAAGCCUGCGAUGGUGUAGUAGUAGUUCUUGACUAGGAGACAAGCAUGAUGCAAAAGCAACUUCAUCACUCCCUUCAUCAAGAUAGUAGAGUCCAUCAUGCACGGUCCCAGUCCCCAACAGUCUCCCUGUCUCUAGCUCCUGAAAAGCACACCAGGUAGGAUAAAACAAACCUCUACAAUUGAGAGAUUCAGUAAUAGAGCUAACUGACAAGAGAUUGACUGGAAAUUUAGGAACAUGUAAGACAUGAGGUAAGGACAAUGUCUUACUGCACCUAACAGAUCCACGUCCCGUGAUAGGUGCCAUGGAUCCAUCAGCUACACGUACUUUGUCCUUACCUGAGCAAGGUGUAUAGGAAGUGAAUAUAUUUGAAGCUCCUGUCAUGUGAUUGGUAGCUCCUGUAUCAAUAAUCCAAGAUUUUGAUUGCAUUGUAGAAUUGUGGGCCUGGUGAGGUGUUAUACCUUGGAGUGAAGUGGCAUGCAAACUAGUUUCAGCUUUAGAGGAAUCCUGGAAGGAAGACAAGUCUUCUGAGAGUCUAAUCUUGGAGGUGAAAUCCUCAAGAGCUCGCACAUCUACUACCGGUAGCUCCCUCUUGGAUGUAGUGAGAUUCGCCUGUCUUUUAUGAGCUCCUUGACCUUCUCUGGCUGAGAUUUUCCUUUUUCCCACCAAGUUGGAUAACCAUGCAGCUCAAAGCAUGAAUCCUUUGUGUGUCCAAGCCUUUUCCAGUGGUUGCAAAAUAGUUUGCUUUUAUCUAUUUUAGCAAAGGUCUUAGGAGCACGACGAGCUUGUAUGGAUAGGGCUGCACAUGCAUCUGAUUUUUCUUGAACAUGCUCAUUGGGUUGAGCAAGACGGGUCUCCUCCUCAAUCACACUGGAAAUGAUAUCAUCAAGGCUUAGCCAUUCAGUUUUGGAGAAUAUUAGCUGGCGGCGGAGAUCAAACUCCUGAUUUAGGCCAUCAAGAAAGAGCUUGCCCACAAAUGGUUCAAACCAGGUAUGGUGAACAGCCACAUCAUUCUUAUCAACAGGUUGAAAAGGAUGGUAAUAAUGCAACUCCCUAUACAAUCUCUUCAUCUCACCUGCAUACUCAGUCACUGAUUUUGAGCCUUGUUCAAGUUAGUCAACUCGUGCAUGAUGCGAGUAGCCUGCAUCUUAUUUGAUUUUCCUGAAAAUUGCUUCUCCAAAGCUUUCCACACUUCAAAUACAGAGGUCAAAGUCUCAACUUGUUCUCGUAUCGGUGGUUCCAUGCUUCCUAAUAACCACACCAAAACUCUAUCAUUGAUCUGUUUGGUGAUAGUACCACUUUUCAGUUUCUCUUCAUCGGCACUAAGCAAUUCUUCAUAGCCAUGAGAACUCAUAAUUAACUGGGCAUGCCGUGCCCAGCUGAUAUAAUUGCCCGGUCCAGCCAACUUCACUGGAUUAGGCUCAAGUGCAUACUUGACAGCUUCAGGAACCACUUUGAGUUGUUGUUGUUGCUGCUCAAAUACUUUGCUUAAAAUUUCAUACAACUUAUCCAUACUAGUAUCCCCUGAUUUCCCCUUUGUUGGAUCUGCCAUGAUUUACCGCCACACAAAGAAAAAACCAGACACACAGGACUUGGUUUUUGCAGAUCUCCACUAACAACAACACACAGGCAGUACAAGCAGAGUAGAUACUAGCCAAGCAGAUAUACUAGUGCAGGUUGCUCUCAAAUGCGCACAGACUGCACAAGUAUUUUAAUACGGCCACUAGGCAAAGAUGAGCUAUCCGGCUGCACUAAUCACGGUUCUCCAACGGCAGCCACAAGUACUAGUACCGGCUGCACUAAUCAAUAAAGUAUAGAAGACAGCUUACUGCUUGGAGAGACGGCACAACGGCAACCAGCAAUUUUUCCGCGGCAGCACAACAUCCAUUUCUCAGCACAGGGAGUAAGCACAGAUGCACCGGGAGGCAGUCAACAGGCUACCUUAGAUUGGGCGCAGCACUCGGUGCCGUAGCUUGGAGAUGAUGUCGCAGGUCUCGGCAGCAGCUCGCGAACGACGCAGCUCAAGUGCCCACAACCGUAAAUCACGGCGACACAGCACCGCAAUUAGCCGUCACCAAGGUCGAAAUCACACAGGAUUAACCUGCUCCGAUGCCAUGUUGAAAAUCAUCUGAGAUUUGAGGGAUUUGAACUAGGGAUUGGAGGGAGUGUGAAGAGCAUUUGGGGAAUUUCUGGAUCGUUCCACCCCAAUCCAUUCUCUCUGCUGAUUUAUAUAUUGUUUGUACAAUUUACAUUUUAGACCUUAUAGACUCACCUAAUUACAUUAUCUACACACCAACAGUCGGGUCCUUCAAGCCGUGGAGGACCCGUCAUGAUGUUAAAUGACUCGUCCUCGAGGCUAAACCAGACAAAGCACGACAUACGUGCACGAUCAUGUAAAACCAAGUGAUCAUAUUCAUACAUAAGUGAGUGUUGGUCAACUAUCCAGAUCAAGGAACCCUUGAAGAAGGUGGCAAUUCGCCCUACUAGAAAUGGGUACGGUGGUUGUGCGGCCGUCUCAUGCCAGUGGUCCUUUCCGAUAGUGAACACCUCCAUCCCAAUACCACCCAUGGCACGCUUUUCACGAUAGAAGAAGCGAGCGGCCUUGUAGGCGUUGGAGCGAUGGCUGCGACCAAAGCCAAACGCCUGGUGGCCUUUGUGUGUACGACACCGGCGCGGUGCGAUGCUGUUGGGGCUCCAAGGCAGCUCGAGGACUUGGUGUGUGUGGUUGGAUUGAGCACGCGCACGAUAUCCUCAGUCGGCAACAACACAAGUCCAUCGCAGUGUGCGAACCCGUGCCUGAUCCGCGUCUCCUCCACAGGGAACGAGGAGGUGUCAUGUAAGAGGGUCGAGGCAUGCUGCCGGCUCUCCUCCCACAAGUACAAUCCCGGAUUGAUGACCUCAUACCGGUCUAUCCUAGAUUCGACCACUUUGCGAUAGACACGUGGUGCGAUGAGCAGGCUAUGGUAUUUUUCUUUUUGCUUGCGAAGUCGGUGGAGGUGCGACUGAGCGAAGGAAGGAUCGCCGGAGAUGGUGUCGCGCCAGUCCUUGCAGACGCACCUUAUCCGCCACAGUGAUUUGACGGGCAGACGAACUAGGAUUUCCCACACGAUCAGCUCGUUUGGCAGACACGCCAUCUUCGCCGAUUGUGUUGGCUGCCGAAGCCGUCAGGACGCGAGGACCAAGUUGUGGCUGCGUUCGUAUCCUUCUAUUAAGCCUUUGAUUUGAUUAUUAAUCUUGUGCUUAUAUAUGCCCACGAUAGAUUCCAAACCGAGUCAGACACUAACUCGAACUUCACCAUCUAUGGGAACUAACUCGAACUUUUGGUAACAACACUUGGAAUUUGUCUCGGAACUUGUUGCCUCCUGAAAUCCGACGUUUUGGUUGUUGUGUGACCAUGAACGGUGAGAGAAAUGCAAAAUAUUCUUCACCUGGAAUUCAAUUUUCUCUUGCGAUGCAGCCAUGCAUGGCGUCCUCCUCGGCUGCAAACCAAAUAAGGAUUUUUUCCGAAGAAACCGUUAGUGACCCAGUUAUCUGAAGCUCGUCAUCAUGCAAGCCCCGGCCUUAUGAAGUCAUAUCAAAGUCCAUAAUAUUUACGUCGUUUAAACAAACUUUAUUAAAAAUAGCAGUGACGGUCCUUGCUGAUUACAUAGCUAGCAAUAAGUAAGCCCGCUAGAAGCUAUCUAGAUUCUAACUAAGGUCGGAACAUAAAAUAUUACAUCGAAGCUUUUGACGGUCCUCCAUGAGUACUCAGCAAGCGUGCCCAUAUCGGGGUUGUAAUAUCUCAAGACAUUCAUGCGCGCAAUAGCCUUUUCUCCUUGACGAGUUCGACGCCAGAGAUAGUCCACUGUAUCUUGAUACACUAUCUCGUCAGUCGUCACCAAACGUGGCAAUGAGACGCAUAGAAAAUGGGUAAUCGAGCACAUGCCGCUGAUGCCACCGUGGCAGGUCGUUGCCUUCCACGUCAUCGCACACCAUAUCUCGACCAUUUCACUGUUGGGCCCUGGAUGAGGCAUGGCUAGCUUCCCGUUCACCUCGGCAAAGUUGGUGUCAAGAUAGUCGGCCCCUUUGUACCAUGGAGGACCGGUCAUGACGCUGAAUGACUCGUCUUCAAGGUUAAAACGGACAAAGCACGGCAUGUUUGCAGCAUCAUCGAGAUGUGAGUAAUCAUACAUAGGCGAGUAAUGGUCGAUUGUCCAGAUCAAGGAGCCCUUGAAGAAUGUCGCCGUUAGUCCAGCUACGAAAGGGUACGGCGGUUGCACGGCUGUCUCACGCCAGCACUGGUCCUUUCCGAUAGUGAACACCUCCAUCCCGAGACCGCCCAUGCCGCGCGUUUCACGGUGGAAGAAGCGGGCGACCUUGUAGGCGUUGGAGCGAUGGUCGCGUCCGAAGCCGAAUGCCUGGUGGCCUUCACCUUGGGGGCACCGACGCGGCGCAACACUGUUCAGGCUCCAUGGCAGCACGCGGAUUUGGCGUGUGGCAGGGUUGAGCACACGCACUGUAUCCUCGGCGGGCAGAAACACGAGCCCGUCGCAGUGCGUGAGCCCAUGCCUUGUCGCCGCCCCCUCGGCAGGGAAUGAGGAGAUGUCGAAUAAGAGGGUCGCGAUGUCCUUCUGGCUCUCCUCCCACAGGUACAGCCCCGGGGAGGUAACCUUCAUAUCGGCCCAGGGUCUUCUUGUGUCGCGGGGAUCUUCCAUGUCACUUUCGCUUUUGAUACGUGGCGCGAUAAGCAGGCUGUAGGGCUUCUUGACUUGCUGAUGAAGGUGGUCGAGGUGCGCCUGAGAGAAGGAGGGGUCGGCGCCGGAGAUGAUGUCGCGCCAGGCCUUGCAGACGCACCGUAGCCGCAGCAGCGACUUGGUGGGUAGCCGGACCAGGAUCUUCCACGCGAUCAGCUCGUGAGGCAGGCACGGCAUGGUCUCCGGUCGAUGGACCAACUUGGGGCGUCCAUCGUCAGCCAUCUUCGAGCGUUUUGGCUGCCGCUGGUAUGAUUUGUGGCAGCGUGCAUACACAUUGUGGGAUUUCGAGCGUCCAGCAUCAGCCCUAUAUAAGCACGUACAUACUCGACCGAGUCGGACAUGGAAACUGUAGCUAACUCGAACUUGGAAAUUUGGAUAACAUGGAAAUUGACUCGGACUUGCCUCCUGAAAUCUGAUGUUUCGUUUGCCGUGUGAGGUGUGACUACGAACGGGAAAAAUAAUAAUCUAAAACGUUAUUCUCCGGGAAUUGUUCACGGCAUCGUCCUGGACCACAAUCCAAAGUCGGUUUCAAAUCGAAAAUUAUGUUGAACUAAAUUGGGGCUCGAGUUUUUUUAACACAAUACACACACAGACUCUCAUACAUACGCGCGUACACUCACCCCUAUGAACGUAUGCACAUACACCUAACCCUAUGAGGAUCUUCGAGAGACUGAACCGACAUCAUCUUGAGAUAGACAAAAUCAACUCAGAUGUCACUGUAGUCGACGGUCACUAUGGCAGCGGCCCAUCUCCUCCGUGCAGGCGUCCGGGCAGGAGGACAGUCAUUGUCGAUGGUGGUGGUGUCGAUCUCCGACACUGGCGCGCUCCUACUACUUCGCGUGGCGCGCCACCUUAGCCUUGGCAGAACCCUUCUCCCUCGUGAGGCGCUCCAAAGCUUCGGUCCCUAGCUAGAGCGCCUUCGCAUUUUGCGUCGGAGGCGCCUGGCGUCCGUCUCCGUCGAGGUUAGUGAAUGGUGCAUGACCUCGCGGAGGAGAUGCUGCUGUGGGUCGAUGGGGAGGGAGCAGGAGCGUUGGCAGGAGGAGUCGACCCUCCGCCUUUGCCCGCUUAAGCUCGCGGCCGUCGUCCUUGGCCUCUGACUCCGGCAUGCGCAUCCGGAAAUGGGUGGUCGGGUUUGGGCUCGUUAGGUUUUGUCCGAUGUCGUCUAACAACGCGUCACAUGGGCCGUCUUGCCCCGGAUUUGUGGCGCCUGAUAGCAGGCCAAUCCAUUAGGUUUUCAUUCAGACGCCACAAGUCAUCCAAUCAGCGUUAUUUGAAAACUGUCAGCACAGUGAUGACGGUUUUAGAAAAGAAAAAAAAGAAUGAUAGCGGUUUUAGAAAAAAAAAUGAUGGCGGUUUUAGAAAGAAAUAAUGAAUCAUGAUGGCUUCCUGAAUUAGGAUCAAUGGAUGGGGCUAGAAAUUAUACACCGGCACAAACCGAACAAAACUGUACACAUGUACUCUCCCAUCGUACAGCCUCGAUCUCCUUUGAUCGAUCCUCCUACCCUCCUAGGGCGUGGAGCAGCGACAUCUUGGAAAAUAUUUUUAAAAUAAACUUUACCUUCUAUUAUACUUGUGAGAAAUAUUUCACAAAAAUAAAAUCGCUCUUUGACUUCUUUUCAAAAAGACAAAUUUACGGUCAACAGUGACCUAUAAUAACAAAUAAAUUUGGAAAAGCAUUGAAAUCAGUCGGAUGAUGUACACGCUUCAUAAGUUGUCUCCAGUGUGCGCCACGCGUCCGAUGGGCACACGUGCCGCUUAUCUCUCUUCCUCCCGAUGCGCUGAGCCACUCAUUCUUUCUUCANNNNNNNNNNNNNNNNNNNNNNNNNNNNNNNNNNNNNNNNNNNNNNNNNNNNNNNNNNNNNNNNNNNNNNNNNNNNNNNNNNNNNNNNNNNNNNNNNNNNNNNNNNNNNNNNNNNNNNNNNNNNNNNNNNNNNNNNNNNNNNNNNNNNNNNNNNNNNNNNNNNNNNNNNNNNNNNNNNNNNNNNNNNNNNNNNNNNNNNNNNNNNNNNNNNNNNNNNNNNNNNNNNNNNNNNNNNNNNNNNNNNNNNNNNNNNNNNNNNNNNNNNNNNNNNNNNNNNNNNNNNNNNNNNNNNNNNNNNNNNNNNNNNNNNNNNNNNNNNNNNNNNNNNNNNNNNNNNNNGCACAUUGCUGCACCGCUGCUACAAGUUGUCGUCGCCUAAUGUCGCUGCACCGCUGCUGCAAAUUGUUGUCGCCACUCACCUCAUGCUGCCGUAGGCUAGGCUGGGCAGAAGCUGCUGCCAUGGCCGGCGGGACUGCGUGCAACAGGUGAAGUAGAGCAGGCUCGCCGGCGUUGCGAUGAAGCAGCGCAGGGGCCGCCGGAGCUGCAGUGAAGCGUGGCGGCACCGACCGUGUGGUGUUGCAUGCUAGCCGACUGGUUGCAGCAGCCGGUGAAGAAGAGCAGACUCGCCGGAGUUGCGAUGAAGCGCCGCCAGAGCUGCGAUGAAGCUCGCUGGAGUUUCAAUGAAGUGCGGUGGGACCGUUGAAGCUUCGUCGGUGCUGUAGUGGAGCACCGCGGCGGGUCGCCGGAGGUGCAAUGGAGCGUCACCCGGGCCCCGUCGGUGCGGCCAUGACUGGGUCGUGGUGUUGUCUGAUCAUGCGGCUGGGAGUGUCUGAUCAGACGGCUCUGAGGGCGACUUAAAGUUGUAACAAAUCAAUCGGCUGAUUUGUAGCAGUCGUCAAUAAAUUUUGUCUUUUUUUGCCCUGAAGUCAACUUUUUUUCGUGAAAUUUGUAUACUAGUGCAUAACAAAGUCAAGUUUAAUCUGAAAAUACUUUUAAACUAUUUUGACUUUUGUUUAAUUAUUAAAAAAAAUCUUCAUAUAGGCUAUAUAUAUAACCAGAAACCAUUAGGUAUUCCUGAGGAUGCACACACUAUGGGCCAGUUUGGUUCACUUCCUGAGCGUAGUGCGUCUGGCCUUGCCCUGGGGCCUCCCUGGGAGCUGCCUGGCUCCUGUUUGGUUCGAAUCCUCGUGACCAAGGAGCCACCCUGGCCAGAGAACAAGGCAGAGCAAUUAGCCUGGCCGCUAAACCAGGCAACUUGGUUAGCCUGGUCCACGCAAACCUUUUUGAAAGCCUGGGCUUGCCUGGAGCGGCAGCCUGGGUUGUUUAAUCGGAGCCGUAUCCUUUAACAUACCCAAAGGAUGUCACGUAAGCUAUAGUAACCGAGGGGUUUAUCCUUUCCUUUCGGUUGUCAGUACGAGAGGUCAGUGGGAUUUGAAGGAGGAGCCGAUCUUGUUUCCAGAUCCUUCCAUUCGUGGAUUAUCUUGGGGAGAGAGAGCUGUUUGUGCUGUAGUUAUUAGGAAACUGCCCUUUUAUGGCAUUUCAAUCAUGGUUAAUUGCAUCAAUUUUAUUUUCGAGGCUGAAUGGAAGGGGACACUGGCUUGCUAUAUUUGUGGUCACGGGAGAGGCUGUUUCUCUUCCGGUUCCUCACCAUUGCAGAAUCACUUGUUCUCUGCUCCUUCCAUUCCUUGUGGCAGCCUAGUGAAGUGUUCCAUGGCGGGUCAGGGAGAGAAUGUGAGUAGGGCGGUGGGGAAGAAACAUGUGAGUGGAGUGGGUUCCAAGGGGGUGAUGGACGCCAUGGAGGGAGGGGGCUCUUCGCCGGCCAUUGUCCAAGCUGGUUCCUCUCUUAGCCGGCCUCUUGUCAUUGACAUGGAGGCUGCUCACAAGGCCAUCAACGGGCUGCUGGUGGUGGGGCGCCUCCUGUCCCCUUUCCAGGUCAACCCGAGGGUCAUACUCCUCCGGUGCACGGCUUGGAAGAACCAGGGUGUGGUCACCAUCCAAGAGGUGGCCAGCGAAGACGGGAGGUUCGUCCUCAAUUUUGCCGCUGAGAGUGACCGUCGGUUUGUGCUUAAGGCGCAGCCAUGGCACUUCAAGCGGGACGGCCUCAUUUUCGCCGAGUUCGACGGCAAGGGCGACCCUAGGCCUAGGCGUUCGAUAGAAACCAAAAAUUCGGUUUCUACUGUUUGGUUUUUUUUACAAGUUCGGUUAGUCAAAGUGAAAACCGAAGUAGACACAAAAAUUCAACUAACCAAAAGUUCGGUUAACCGAUUUUUCGGUUCGGUUUUCAGUAUUAACCAAACUAGGCACCAAGUACAGAAAACAUAUUUUUUUUCAUCAUGCACUGAAUUAACAGUAGAAAGAAUAAAUUCAAAACGACACUGCAUUAAGUGUUUACUCGACCCAGGCUAACUGUUUUGCGCGUUGUACCCAUUGUACCCUGUCUUCUUAAGUAGCCAAGCUCACUGUGUCAUCCCGUCUAGCUAGCCGAGGUGGGAUAAAUCCAAGUGAAAUAUCGUACUGUGCUGCCAGAGAGAAACUAUUGUGCAAAAGUGUGGGCCUUGGAUGGUUGCGUGUACGUGGAAGGCCCAGGGGAGGUACAAGGCCGUCCAUGACACGCACAUGCGGCCACGCGAAGUACCUGGGCGCUGGGAUUUUGCGUGUUUGAUCACGUUACUUCGGUUUCUGUUCCGGUUAUCGGUAUAACACCGAACAGUCCGAAUUAAAUUCGGUUAGUAUAAUUGAAAACCGAAUUUUACUGUAGUAGUGACAAAAACCGAAAAUUCGGUUUUUACGGUUUCGGUCUUCGGUUCGUCGGUUUUUAUGCCCACCCCUAGGUGACCCGGCAGAGGUCGACCUUGGCGUCAUGACCAUAUGGGUCCAGGUACGCGAUCUCCCGUUCGAGUUUAAGACGGAGAGUGUAGGGUGGUCUCUCGAGGAUCAACUGGGAGAGGUGCUGGAGGUUUCGCACCGUAACCAUGUAAUUGUUGAGAAAUACCUGCGUCUGCGUGUGAAGAUAUUAUUGCAUGAGCCUCUGAAAUGCUCUGUAGAGAUUACUCCUUUAGGUAGUUCAAAGAUCUUCAAAUAUGAUGUAAAGUAUGAGAAACUACCUUUAUACUGUGAGUGUUGUGGGAUAGUGGGUCAUACAUCAGAGAGGUUUUGUAAAAUUCCAAGAGAGGAGAGAGUAGUUUAUUUUCCUAGAAACCUUAGUGUUGAGCCCUACUGGAAGAGCCAAGGUGCUAGCAGGAGGGGUCUCCUCUUCGGGAACUACGUUCGCGGCGGCAACAACUCGACUACAGGCAUCGUCAACAACAACAUCGCCAAGGCCACGGACGUCAUCAAGGUGGCUACUGCCGUGAGUGGUCUCACGGUCUCCGAUAAGGGAGUCGUUUCUUCCGACAAGACGACCACCGGCCAGGAGGGUCAGGCUAAGGGGGUCGUACUGCCUACUCCGGUUGGGGCGUCGCUUGGUCAGGAGGACCAGGCGGGCGCGCCGGCUGCGCUUGUCAGGCGGAGCCAUGAGGUACAGUGUCAAGUGCCCUUGCAGGACCUGCGCCAGGAUGGGGAGCAUCUCCAGCAACACAUGCAGCCCACUGCUGCUCCAGACCAGACUAUCCUGGCGGGUCAGGGGGGCCUGUGUACUAUGGCGAUGGUGGUGCCCAACCAAACCCCAGAGCAGGGCCAACUCCUAUUCCAGACGGGAAUGCUUGAGGCACUAACCAGUGCUGUGGCUGCUAAAUUUGCUGCAGCAAAUGCCAAGGGAGAAUUUGGGGAGCCUGGCUCAUCUUUUAUUUUCAACGCCACUAAAUCUGCUACGCAGGGACACGAAAAGGUGAAAGGGAAAAAGGCUAGAAAGGAAGGAGGUGCUGAUCGUUCGGUGGAAGACCGUGAGAAAACGAUAGGCAAAAAGAGAAGACCUCUUUCCGAUGCGUGUCCGACGGGUAGUAAUUUAGUGUUUUCUUUUGAGAAAAAUAGCAUGGAUAGUCUUGAGCGCUUGUUGUAUGAUGAUGUAAAUGUCUCAAGCAAGAGAGUUUGUACGGGUAGAGUAGAGACGGUAAAAGAUGUGGACGGUGUUGUUAGCCACGUAGCGAGGGAGACGGGUGAGAAGGAAGAAGAGUAUGUGCAGGAGAGAAGGAAGUCAGUUGGAGACGAUGGCGCAUCAGCGGCCUCCGGUGAGGACGUCCGCCGGGCCAAAUGAAAAUCCUUGGUUGGAACUGCCGUGGGAUGCUAUCUACCACGGCAGUUCGAGAGCUCUUGGACCUUCAAGAGCGGGUUCGGGCAGACUUAAUUUUUCUUUCAGAAUCCCACUUGAAUAAUUGUAAAGCCGAUGAGCUAUGUCGGGUCCUUAGUUUUGAUUCCAUGUUUGUGGUGGAGAGUGAUGGUCGGGCCGGGGGCCUUGUCUUGUUUUAUUAUAAAGUGAAUACAUUUGAGUUGAACUAUAUCUCGACUAAUUUUAUUGAUAUUUUGUUUAUGAAUGAGGAAGUCGUACAGUGGCGUUUCACGGGUUUUUAUGGUCAUCCGAACUGGAGUGAUCGCAAUUUAUCUUGGGAGGAUAUUCGUAAUUUGUAUCAUAAGGGUAAUCAUCCAUGGGUGAUUCUAGGAGAUUUUAAUGAGAUUUUAUAUUCCUUGAAGAAAGAGGGGGGCAACGCGAGACCGAAUGGAAUGAUGAAGGAUUUUCGUGAUUGUCUAGCAGAAUGUGGCUUGGAUGAUAUGGGGUUCAUAGGCGACCCCUUUACAUGGAGGAGAGGUGAGAUUAGGGAACGUCUUGACCGUGCAGUAUGUAAUGUACAAUGGGUGCAUAAAUUUCCUUGGGCGGCUAUGAUUAAUGAAAACCAUGUACAUUCUGACCACCGGCCGUUAGUUUUGGAUAUGGAUUAUUUUGACGGUAAUAUGUUUACGACGUUGAAUAGGGGUAUUAAAAAAUUUGAAGCCAGAUGGCUUAAAGAAGAAACUGUUAGUGAAAUUGUCAAGACAUCGUGGGAGAAGGCAAAGCUGGCUGGUAUUGACCCGUCGCUCGCAGACAGGACCCGAGCAGUACACGCCGAUCUACAUUCCUGGGAUCGUGAGAUCUUGAAGGGACCAAAACAGAGAAUUAAUAAAUUAAAAAAAGAGUUAGAAAAAGUGAAACGUGGCCCUAUGAAUAUAGAUUCCCUUUCUAGGCAGAAAGAAAUUGUAGUUCUCAUUGAGAAUCUGUUGGAUCAGGAAGAGAAUUUUUGGUUACAGAGAGGUAGAGCAAAUUGGUUGAUGCACGGAGACCGAAAUACUUCCUUCUUCCAUAAUGCAGCUACUGCUAGGAAAAAGAGAAAUAAUAUCAAAAAACUUCUCGAUGAUACUGGGGUCUGGCGACAAGAUACGGAAUUGAAGGAUCAUAUCACAGAAUAUUUUAAAAAGCUUUUUACCUCAGAGAUCGAGCAACCUAAUCAGGAUGUGUUAUCACUGGUAAAGAGGAGAGUAUCUACUGAGAUGAACAAUGCCCUCCUUUCUCCGUAUACGGCUGAUGAUGUUCGUAAAGCCUUGUUUGACAUUGGGGAUUUGAAAGCCCCAUGGCCGGAUGGGCUCCAUGCUAUUUUCUAUAAAUGGUUUUGGCCAAUGUUAGGAGAUGAUCUGAUCGAGGAGGUUUUGAAAGCAGUAAACACUUGCACUAUCCCAUCUGGUUGGAAUGAUACUGUGAUUGUGAUGAUACCAAAAGUCAAUUCUCCGGAGAAGGUAACCCAGUUUAGACCAAUUAGUCUGUGCAAUGUGGUGUAUAAAGUUAUUGCAAAAAUGAUUGCCUCUCGCCUAAAGGUGUUCCUACCAGAUAUUAUUAGCCCAACUCAAAGCGCAUUCAUGCCUGGAAGACUUAUUACGGACAACGUAUUGGUGGCAUACGAAUGCUUCCACACCAUCAAGAAAAAGAGAGCAGGCAAAGAAGGAUUAUGUGCGAUAAAAUUGGAUAUGCAUGAAGCUUAUGACCGGGUUGAAUGGCCUUUUCUCAAGGAGAUUAUGCUCAAACUUGGAUUUCGUGAGGUGUGGGUAAAUUUCAUUAUGGAGUGUGUUUCUACUAUUGAAUAUCGUAUUCGGUUUAAUGCGGAGGAAAGUGAAAGUUUUAAACCUACUAGGGGUCUGAGGCAAGGAGACCCGCUAUCUCCUUACCUAUUCCUGUUAUGCACGGAGGGUCUCACAGCUAUACUAACGCAUGCGGAAGAAAAUGGGAAUAUUUCAGGAGUAAGGGUUUGCAGAGAUGCCCCAUCUGUCACGAACCUUCUUUUUGCUGACGACUCUUUAAUCCUUAUGAAAGCAAAUUUGCAAAGUGCGGAAACAUUAAAAUCAGUUCUAGAUUCGUAUUGCGCAGCUUCAGGGCAGACGGUCAGUGUCGACAAAUCCAGCAUCUUUUUUAGCCCUAAUACGGGAGUGGACACUAGAGAACAAAUGUGUACAAUCCUCAAUAUAAUGACUGAGGCCUUGAAUGACAAAUAUUUAGGACUACCGGCCAAUGUGGGUUUAGAUAAAACCGAUUGUUUCCAAUACUUAAUCGAUCGUAUUGUUCAGAGAAUUAGUGGUUGGAAGGAAAAACUUCUGUCGGCUGGAGGAAAGGAGAUCCUACUUAAAGAGGUUGUUCAACCUAUUCCCACCUAUGCAAUGUUGGUCUUUAAAAUUCCUAAAAAAAAUUGCAAAGGAAUUAUUGACGCGAUGGCGCAUUUCUGGUGGGGAGAUGAGGACAACCAAAGGAGGAUGCAUUGGAUGGCUUGGUGGAAAAUGUGUGUACCCAAGAACCAAGGAGGAAUGGAUUUUCGGGAUAUCCAUUGUUUCAAUUUGGCUAUGCUUGCUAAACAGGCUUGGCGUCUUCUCGAGAAUCCGGAUUCUCUAUGUGCUACUAUUUUGAGAGUCAAAUACUAUCCUGACGGUGACUUGUUGAACACUGACCUGAAGAAGGGAUCUUCAUUCACCUGGCAAAGUAUUAUGGCGGGUGUGAGCUCCCUGAAGCGUGGUCAUAUUUGGCGAGUGGGAAACGGGCAGAAUAUUGACAUUUGGGAGGACGCAUGGAUUCCAAAUUGUGCAAACCGUAAAAUUGUUACCCCUAAGGGAGGACAGUUGUUACGGAAGGUAGCAGAUUUGAUUGAUCCAAUCCUAAAUAGUUGGGAUAAAGAUCUUCUCAGACAGACUCUAUGGCCUAUUGAUGUUCAGCGAGUGCUUACGAUCCCGAUAUCGCAACAUGAUAUGCCAGAUUUCAUAGCUUGGAAUUUCACAAAAAAUGGGAUUUUUUCAGUUCGGUCUGCUUAUUUUGUGGAAUGGGACCACCAAUAUGGGAACAAGUUACGAUAUAUCAAUGGGAUGGGACGUACCACGGUCAAUCCUAUUUGGGCGAGGAUUUGGAAACUUGCUUGUCCAGCAAAGGUUAAAAUAUUUAUUUGGCGUACACUUCACGACACUAUUCCGUGUCGUGUUAACUUAGCUAAUAGGCAUGUGAAAGUCUCGCCUAAGUGUCCUGCCUGCUCAUCUGGGCCAGAAGACACAAAACAUUUGUUGUUUCUAUGUGACAGAGCAAAAGAAGUUUGGACAAGACUAGGGAUGGACGAUAUUUGAAGGAAAUAUGUCCUAGAGGCAAUAAUAAAGUUAUUAUUUAUUUCCUUAUAUCAUGAUAAAGGUUUAUUAUUCAUGCUAUAAUUGUAUUAACCGGAAACAUAAUACAUGUGUGAAUACAUAGACAAACAGAGUGUCACUAGUAUGCCUCUACUUGACUAGCUCGUUAAUCAAAGAUAGUUAUGUUACCAUGGAUAAAGAGUUGUCAUUUGAUUAACGGGAUCACAUCAUUAGUUGAAUGAUCUGAUUGACAUGACCCAUUCCAUUAGCUUAGCACCCGAUCGUUUAGUAUGUUGCUAUUGCUUUCUUCAUGACUUAUACAUGUUCCUAUGACUAUGAGAUUAUGUAACUCCCGUGUGCCGGAGGAACACUUUGUGUGCUACCAAACGUCACAGUAACUGGGUGAUUAUAAAGGUGCUCUAUAGGUGUCUCCAAAGGUACAUGUUGGGUUGACGUAUUUCGAGAUUAGGAUUUGUCACUCCGAUCGUCGGAGAGGUAUAUCUGGGCCCUCUCGGUAAUGCACAUCACUUAAGCCUUGCAAGCAUUGCAACUAAUGAGUUAGUUACGGGAUGGUGUAUUACGGAACGAGUAAAGAGACUUGCCGGUAACGAGAUUGAACUAGGUAUUGGAUACCGACGAUCGAAUCUCGGGCAAGUAACAUACCGAUGACAAAGGGAGCAACGUAUGUUGUUAUGCGGUCUGACCGAUAAAGAUCUUCGUAGAAUAUGUAGGAGCCAAUAUGGGCAUCCAGGUCCCGCUAUUGGUUAUUGACCGGAGACGUGUCUCGGUCAUGUCUACAUUGUUCUCGAACCCGUAGGGUCCGCACGCUUAAGGUUUCGAUGACAGUUAUAUUAUGAGUUUAUACGUUUUGAUGUACCAAAGGUUGUUCGGAGUCCCGGAUGAGAUCACGGACAAGAAGAGGAGUCUCGAAAUGGUCGAGACAUAAAGAUUGAUAUAUUGGAAGCCUAUGUUUGGAUAUCGGAAGUGUUCCGGGUGAAAUCGGGAUUUUACCGGAGUACCGGGAGGUUACCGGAACCCCCCGGGAGAUAUAUGGGCCUUAGUGGGCCUUAGUGGAAAAGAGAAGAGGCAGCCAGAGAUGGGCCGUGCGCCCCUCCCCUCCCUUGGUCCGAAUAGGACAAGGAGAGGGGGCCGGCCCCCCUUCCUCUUUUCCCCCCUCCGCGAAUCAUAUUCCAACUAGGAUUGGGGGGCGGGGCGGGGGGAAUCCUACUCCCGGAGGGAGUAGGACUCCUCCUGGCGCGCCACCUCUAGGCCGGCCGCACCCCCCCUUUGAGCCUUUAUAUACGGAGGCAGGGGCACCCCCUAGAGACACAAGUUGAUCCACGUGAUCAUAUUCUUAGCCGUGUGCGGCGCCCCUGCCACCAUAGUCCUCGAUAAUAUUGUAGCGGUGCUUAGGCGAAGCCCUGCGAUAGUAGUACAUCAAGAUCGUCACCACGCCGUCGUGCUGACNNNNNNNNNNNNNNNNNNNNNNNNNNNNNNNNNNNNNNNNNNNNNNNNNNNNNNNNNNNNNNNNNNNNNNNNNNNNNNNNNNNNNNNNNNNNNNNNNNNNNNNNNNNNNNNNNNNNNNNNNNNNNNNNNNNNNNNNNNNNNNNNNNNNNNNNNNNNNNNNNNNNNNNNNNNNNNNNNNNNNNNNNNNNNNNNNNNNNNNNNNNNNNNNNNNNNNNNNNNNNNNNNNNNNNNNNNNNNNNNNNNNNNNNNNNNNNNNNNNNNNNNNNNNNNNNNNNNNNNNNNNNNNNNNNNNNNNNNNNNNNNNNNNNNNNNNNNNNNNNNNNNNNNNNNNNNNNNNNNNNNNNNNNNNNNNNNNNNNNNNNNNNNNNNNNNNNNNNNNNNNNNNNNNNNNNNNNNNNNNNNNNNNNNNNNNNNNNNNNNNNNNNNNNNNNNNNNNNNNNNNNNNNNNNNNNNNNNNNNNNNNNNNNNNNNNNNNNNNNNNNNNNNNNNNNNNNNNNNNNNNNNNNNNNNNNNNNNNNNNNNNNNNNNNNNNNNNNNNNNNNNNNNNNNNNNNNNNNNNNNNNNNNNNNNNNNNNNNNNNNNNNNNNNNNNNNNNNNNNNNNNNNNNNNNNNNNNNNNNNNNNNNNNNNNNNNNNNNNNNNNNNNNNNNNNNNNNNNNNNNNNNNNNNNNNNNNNNNNNNNNNNNNNNNNNNNNNNNNNNNNNNNNNNNNNNNNNNNNNNNNNNNNNNNNNNNNNNNNNNNNNNNNNNNNNNNNNNNNNNNNNNNNNNNNNNNNNNNNNNNNNNNNNNNNNNNNNNNNNNNNNNNNNNNNNNNNNNNNNNNNNNNNNNNNNNNNNNNNNNNNNNNNNNNNNNNNNNNNNNNNNNNNNNNNNNNNNNNNNNNNNNNNNNNNNNNNNNNNNNNNNNNNNNNNNNNNNNNNNNNNNNNNNNNNNNNNNNNNNNNNNNNNNNNNNNNNNNNNNNNNNNNNNNNNNNNNNNNNNNNNNNNNNNNNNNNNNNNNNNNNNNNNNNNNNNNNNNNNNNNNNNNNNNNNNNNNNNNNNNNNNNNNNNNNNNNNNNNNNNNNNNNNNNNNNNNNNNNNNNNNNNNNNNNNNNNNNNNNNNNNNNNNNNNNNNNNNNNNNNNNNNNNNNNNNNNNNNNNNNNNNNNNNNNNNNNNNNNNNNNNNNNNNNNNNNNNNNNNNNNNNNNNNNNNNNNNNNNNNNNNNNNNNNNNNNNNNNNNNNNNNNNNNNNNNNNNNNNNNNNNNNNNNNNNNNNNNNNNNNNNNNNNNNNNNNNNNNNNNNNNNNNNNNNNNNNNNNNNNNNNNNNNNNNNNNNNNNNNNNNNNNNNNNNNNNNNNNNNNNNNNNNNNNNNNNNNNNNNNNNNNNNNNNNNNNNNNNNNNNNNNNNNNNNNNNCGCCGGUGACGAUGGUGAUCAUGAUGGUGCUUCGGAGAUGGAGAUCACAAGCACAAGAUGAUGAUGGCCAUAUCGUAUCACUUAUAUUGAUUGCAUGUGAUGUUUAUCUUUUAUGCAUCUUAUCUUGCUUUGAUUGACGGUAGCAUUAUAAGAUGCUCUCUCACUAAAUUAUCAAGAUAAAAGUGUUCUCCCUGAGUAUGCACCGUUGCCAAAGUUCGUCGUGCCCAGACACCACGUGAUGAUUGGGUGUGAUAAGCUCUAUGUCCAUCUACAACGGGUGCAAGCCAGUUUUGCACACGCAGAAUACUCAGGUUAAACUUGACGAGCCUAGCAUAUGCAGAUAUGGCCUCGGAACACUAAGAUCGAAAGAUCGAGCGUGAAUCAUAUAGUAGAUAUGAUCAACAUAGUGAUGUUCACCAUUGAAAACUACUCCAUUUCAUGUGAUGAUCGGUUAUGGUUUAGUUGAUUUGGAUCACGUGAUCACUUAGAAGAUUAGAGGGAUGUCUAUCUAAGUGGGAGUUCUUUAAGUAAUUUGAUUAAUUGAAUUUAAAUUUAUCAUGAACUUAGUACCUGAUAGUAUCUUGCUUAUGUAUGUUUGAUUGUAGAUAGAUGGCCCGUGCUGUUGUUNNNNNNNNNNNNNNNNNNNNNNNNNNNNNNNNNNNNNNNNNNNNNNNNNNNNNNNNNNNNNNNNNNNNNNNNNNNNNNNNNNNNNNNNNNNNNNNNNNNNNNNNNNNNNNNNNNNNNNNNNNNNNNNNNNNNNNNNNNNNNNNNNNNNNNNNNNNNNNNNNNNNNNNNNNNNNNNNNNNNNNNNNNNNNNNNNNNNNNNNNNNNNNNNNNNNNNNNNNNNNNNNNNNNNNNNNNNNNNNNNNNNNNNNNNNNNNNNNNNNNNNNNNNNNNNNNNNNNNNNNNNNNNNNNNNNNNNNNNNNNNNNNNNNNNNNNNNNNNNNNNNNNNNNNNNNNNNNNNNNNNNNNNNNNNNNNNNNNNNNNNNNNNNNNNNNNNNNNNNNNNNNNNNNNNNNNNNNNNNNNNNNNNNNNNNNNNNNNNNNNNNNNNNNNNNNNNNNNNNNNNNNNNNNNNNNNNNNNNNNNNNNNNNNNNNNNNNNNNNNNNNNNNNNNNNNNNNNNNNNNNNNNNNNNNNNNNNNNNNNNNNNNNNNNNNNNNNNNNNNNNNNNNNNNNNNNNNNNNNNNNNNNNNNNNNNNNNNNNNNNNNNNNNNNNNNNNNNNNNNNNNNAAAAGGGCAAAGGGAAGAAGAAGGGGAACUUCAAGAAGAACAGCAAGCAAGUUGCUGCUCAAGAGAAGAAACCCAAGUCUGGACCUAAGCCUGAAACUGAGUGCUUCUACUGCAAGCAGACUGGUCACUGGAAGCGGAACUGCCCCAAGUAUUUGACGGAUAAGAAGGAUGGCAAGGUGAACAAAGGUAUAUGUGAUAUACAUGUUAUUGAUGUGUACCUUACUAGAGCUCGCAGUAGCACCUGGGUAUUUGAUACUGGUUCUGUUGCUAAUAUUUGCAACUCGAAACAGGGACUACGGAUUAAGCGAACACUGGAAAAGGACGAGGUGACGAUACGCGUGGGAAAUGGUUCCAAAGUCGAUGUGAUCACGGUCGGCACGCUACCUCUACAUCUACCUUCGGGAUUAGUAUUAGACCUAAAUAAUUGUUAUUUGGUGCCAGCGUUGAGCAUGAACAUUAUAUCUGGAUCUUGUUUAAUGCGAGACGGUUAUUCAUUUAAAUCAGAGAAUAAUGGUUGUUCUAUUUUUAUGAGUAAUAUCUUUUAUGGUCAUGCACCUUUGAAGAGUGGUCUAUUCUUGAUGAAUCUCGAUAGUAGUAACACACAUAUUCAUAAUGUUGAAGCCAAAAGAUGCAGAGUUGAUAAUGAUAGUGCAACUUAUUUGUGGCACUGCCGUUUAGGUCAUAUCGGUAUAAAGCGCAUGAAGAAACUCCAUACUGAUGGGCUUUUAGAACCACUUGAUUAUGAAUCACUUGGUACUUGCGAACCGUGCCUCAUGGGCAAGAUGACUAAAACACCGUUCUCCGGUACUAUGGAGAGAGCAACAGAUUUGUUGGAAAUCAUACAUACAGAUGUAUGUGGUCCGAUGAAUAUUGAGGCUCGUGGCGGAUAUCGUUAUUUUCUCACCUUCACAGAUGACUUAAGCAGAUAUGGGUAUAUCUACUUAAUGAAACAUAAGUCUGAAACAUUUGAAAAGUUCAAAGAAUUUCAGAGUGAAGUUGAAAAUCAUCGUAACAAGAAAAUAAAGUUUCUACGAUCUGAUCUUGGAGGAGAAUAUUUGAGUUACGAGUUUGGUAUACAUUUGAAGCAAUGCGGAAUAGUUUCGCAACUCACGCCACCCGGAACACCACAGCGUAAUGGUGUGUCUGAACGUCGUAAUCGUACUUUACUAGAUAUGGUGCGAUCUAUGAUGUCUCUUACUGAUUUAACACUAUCGUUUUGGGGUUAUGCUUUAGAGACAGCCGCAUUCACGUUAAAUAGGGCACCAUCAAAAUCCGUUGAGACGACACCUUAUGAACUAUGGUUUGGCAAGAAACCAAAGUUGUCGUUUCUUAAAGUUUGGGGCCGCGAUGCUUAUGUGAAAAAGCUUCAACCUGAUAAGCUCGAACCCAAAUCGGAAAAAUGUGUCUUCAUAGGAUACCCAAAGGAGACUGUUGGGUACACCUUCUAUCACAGAUCCGAAGGCAAGACAUUCGUUGCUAAGAAUGGAUCCUUUCUAGAGAAGGAGUUUCUCUCGAAAGAAGUGAGUGGGAUGAAAGUAGAACUUGACGAGGUAACUGUACCUGCUCCCUUAUUGGAAAGUAGUACAUCACAGAAACCUGUUUCUGCAACAACUACACCAAUCAGUGAGGAAGCUAAUGAUAAUGAUCAUGAAACUUUAGGACAAGAUACUAUUGAGCCUCGUAGAUCAACCAGAGUAAGAUCCGCGCCAGAGUGGUACGGUAAUCCUGUUCUGAAAAUCAUGCUACUAGAUCAUGAUGAACCUACAAACUAUGGAGAAGCGAUGGUGAGCCCAGAUUCCGCAAAAUGGCUUGAAGCCAUGAAAUCUGAGAUGGGAUCCAUGUAUGAGAACAAAGUAUGGACUUUGGUUGACUUGCCCGAUGAUCGGCAAGCAAUUGAGAAUAAAUGGAUCUUCAAGAAGAAGAUUGACGCUGACGGUAAUAUUACUAUCUACAAAGCUCGACUUGUUGCAAAAGGUUUUCGACAAGUUCAAGGUGUUGACUACGAUGAGACCUUCUCACCCGUAGCGAUGCUUAAGUCUGUCCGAAUCAUGUUAGCAAUUGCCGCAUUUUAUGAUUAUGAAAUUUGGCAGAUGGAUGUCAAAACUGCAUUCCUGAAUGGAUUUCUGGAAGAAGAGUUGUAUCUGAUGCAACCGGAAGGUUUUGUCGAUCCAAAGGGAGCUAACAAAGUGUGCAAGCUCCAGCGAUCCAUUUAUGGACUGGUGCAAGCCUCUCGGAGUUGGAAUAAACGCUUUGAUAGUGUGAUCAAAGCAUUUGGUUUUAGACAGACUUUUGAGAAGUCUGUAUUUACAAAAAAGUGAGUGGGAGCUCUGUAGCAUUUCUGAUAUUAUAUGUGGAUGACAUAUUACUGAUUGGAAAUGAUAUAGAAUUUCUGGAUAGCAUAAAGGGAUACUUGAAUAAGAGUUUUUCAAUGAAAGACCGCGGUGAAGCUGCUUACAUAUUAGGCAUAAAGAUCUAUAGAGAUAGAUCAAAACGCUUAAUUGGACUUUCACAAAGCACAUACCUUGACAAGAUUUUGAAGAAGUUCAAAAUGGAUCAAGCAAAGAAAGGGUUCUUGCCUGUGUUACAAGGUGUGAAGUUGAGUCAGACUCAAUGCCCGACCACUGCAGAAGAUAGAGAGAAAAUGAAAGAUGUUCCCUAUGCUUCAGCCAUAGGCUCUAUCAUGUAUGCAAUGCUGUGUACCAGACCUGAUGUGUGCCUUGCUGUAAGUCUAGCAGGGAGGUACCAAAGUAAUCCAGGAGUGGAUCACUAGACAGCGGUCAAGAACAUUCUGAAAUACCUGAAAAGGACUAACGAUAUGUUUCUCGUAUAUGGAGGUGACAAAGAGCUCAUCGUAAACGGUUACGUUGAUGCAAGCUUUGACACUGAUCCGGACGAUUCUAAAUCGCAAACCGGAUACGUGUUUACAUUAAACGGUGGAGCUGUCAGUUGGUGCAGUUCUAAACAAAGCGUCGUGGCGGGAUCUACAUGUGAAGCGGAGUACAUAGCUGCUUCGGAAGCAGCAAACGAAGGAGUCUAGAUGAAGGAGUUCAUAUCCGAUCUAGGUGUCAUACCUAGUGCAUCGGGUCCAAUGAAAAUCUUUUGUGACAAUACUGGUGCAAUUGCCUUGGCAAAGGAAUCCAGAUUUCACAAGAGAACCAAACACAUCAAGAGACGCUUCAAUUCCAUCCGGGAUCUAGUCCAGGUGGGAGACAUAGAGAUUUGCAAGAUACAUACGGAGCUGAAUGUAGCAGACCCGUUGACUAAGCCUCUUCCACGAGCAAAACAUGAUCAGCACAAAAGGUCCAUGGGUGUUAGAAUCAUUACUAUGUAAUCUAGAUUAUUGACUCUAGUGCAAGUGGGAGACUGAAGGAAAUAUGCCCUAGAGGCAAUAAUAAAGUUAUUAUUUAUUUCCUUAUAUCAUGAUAAAGGUUUAUUAUUCAUGCUAGAAUUGUAUUAACGGGAAACAUAAUACAUGUGUGAAUACAUAGACAAACAGAGUGUCACUAGUAUGCCUCUACUUGACUAGCUCGUUAAUCAAAGAUGGUUAUGUUUCCUAACCAUGGACAAAGAGUUGUCAUUUGAUUAAGGGAUCACAUCAUUAGUUGAAUGAUCUGAUUGACAUGACCCAUUCCAUUAGCUUAGCACCCGAUCGUUUAGUAUGUUGCUAUUGCUUUCUUCAUGACUUAUACAUGUUCCUAUGACUAUGAGAUUAUGUAACUCCCGUGUGCCGGAGGAACACUUUGUGUGCUACCAAACGUCACAACGUAACUGGGUGAUUAUAAAGGUGCUCUACAGGUGUCUCCAAAGGUACAUGUUGGGUUGACGUAUUUCGAGAUUAGGAUUUGUCACUCUGAUCGUCGGAGAGGUAUCUCUGGGCCCUCUCGGUAAUGCACAUCACUUAAGCCUGCAAGCAUUGCAACUAAUGAGUUAGUUGCGGGAUGAUGUAUUACGGAACGAGUAAAGAGACUUGCCGGUAACGAGAUUGAACUAGGUAUUGGAUACCGACGAUCGAAUCUCGGGCAAGUAACAUACCGAUGACAAAGGGAGCAACGUAUGUUGUUAUGCGGUCUGACCGAUAAAGAUCUUCGUAGAAUAUGUAGGAGCCAAUAUGGGCAUUCAGGUCCCGCUAUUGGUUAUUGACCGGAGACGUGUCUCGGUCAUGUCUACAUUGUUCUCGAACCCGUAGGGUCCGCAUGCUUAAGGUUUCGAUGACAGUUAUAUUAUGAGUUUAUACGUUUUGAUGUACCGAAGGUUGUUCAGAGUCCCGGAUGAGAUCACGGACAUGACGAGGAGUCUCGAAAUGGUCGAGACAUAAAGAUUGAUAUAUUGGAAGCCUAUGUUUGGAUAUCGGAAGUGUUCCGGGUGAAAUCGGAAUUUUACCGGAGUACCGGAAGGUUACCGGAACCCCCCGGGAGAUAUAUGGGCCUUAGUGGGCCUUAGUGGAAAAGAGAAGAGGCAGCCAGAGUUGGGCCGCGCGCCCCUCCCCUCCCUUGGUCUGAAUAGGACAAGGAGAGGGGGCCGGCCCCCCUUCCUCUUUUCCCCCCUCCGUGAAUCCUAUUCCAACUAGGAUUGGGGGGGGGGGGGGAUCCUACUCCCGGCGGGAGUAGGACUCCUCCUGGCGCGCCACCUCUAGGCCGGCCGCACCCCCCCUUUGAGCCUUUAUAUAAGGAGGCAGGGGCACCCCCUGGAGACACAAGUUGAUCCACGUGAUCAUAUUCUUAGCCGUGUGCGGCGCCCCCUACCACCAUAGUCCUCGAUAAUAUCGUAGCGGUGCUUAGGCGAAGCCCUGCGACAGUAGUACAUCAAGAUCAUCACCACGCCGUCGUGCUGACGGAACUCUUCCCCGACACUUUGCUGGAUCGGAGUCCGGGGAUCGUCAUCGAGCUGAACGUGUGCUAGAACUCGGAGGUGCCGUAGUUUCGGUGCUUGAUCGGUCGGGCCGUGAGACGUACGACUACAUCAACCAAACGCUUCCGUUGUCGAUCUACAAGGGUACGUAGAUCACACUCUCCCCUCUCGUUGCUAUGCAUCACCAUGAUCUUGCGUGUGCGUAGGAAUUUUUUUGAAAUUACUACGUUACCCAACAAUAUUAUCAACAGAGAUUGUAAAAUAGACUAUGCGGGUGAGGCAAUCUUGGAAUAUUUACUUUCAUUACCAGAUCAGGAACUAUGUAUUACGGGCACUCGUAAAGUGCGUGACAUGAUUGCCAUAUCAGCCUGGUACUUGUGGUGGGAAAGGCGCACAUUAGUACACAAUGAGACUACUCAGAAUGCACAACAGAUAUCCAUGGGGAUACGCGCUCUCGCUGCCAAUUUUGUUAAUGCCUCCUCGCCGAAGGCUUCCAUGAAAAGAGGAGGAUGGUCUAACCCCCCGACAGGAUUUGUUAAACUUAACGUUGAUGCUUCUUUUGACCACGACCUUCUCAGGGGUACAAUCGGGGCUGUCUUAAGAGAUGACAAAGGUAGGUUCAUCGGUGGGGGAAAUGGUAAGAUUGACUGGUGUGCAGAUGUGUUGAUGGCUGAAGCUUUGGCGUUAAAAUUUGGUCUAUCUCUUGCGCAAAGGACGGGUUGUAAUCGCAUAAUUAUUAACUCGGAUAAUAUGGAGGUGAUCGAGACCAUGAACGAAGGAGGACGAUCCUCGGGGGCAGCUGGUGCAAUUUUUGAUGACUGUUUUCACUUAGCUUGCGAUUUUCCUAUUUCUAGAUUCGAGCAUUAUAAUAGAGAAGCAAAUAAAGUUGCUCAUGAACUUGCCAAGUUGGCUAGAUUUUCUUUCAUUUAUGAUUGGUUUGAGGAACCACAUAAUGCAAUUGUACCGAUCCUCAUAAAUGAUGUAAUGAUUAUUUCUAAUGAAUAAAGCUUGAACUUUCUUAAAAAAACCGUGACAUCCCUUCUUCACAUUGAUAUGAUUAAGCCUAAAAUGAUUAUUUGUUGUUUCUAUGUGACAGAGCAAAAGAAGUUUGGACAAGACUAGGGAUGGACGAUAUUUGAAGGAAAUAUGCCCUAGAGGCAAUAAUAAAGUUAUUAUUUAUUUCCUUAUAUCAUGAUAAAGGUUUAUUAUUCAUGCUAUAAUUGUAUUAACCGGAAACAUAAUACAUGUGUGAAUACAUAGACAAACAGAGUGUCACUAGUAUGCCUCUACUUGACUAGCUCGUUAAUCAAAGAUGGUUAUGUUACCAUGGAUAAAGAGUUGUCAUUUGAUUAACGGGAUCACAUCAUUAGUUGAAUGAUCUGAUUGACAUGACCCAUUCCAUUAGCUUAGCACCCGAUCGUUUAGUAUGUUGCUAUUGCUUUCUUCAUGACUUAUACAUGUUCCUAUGACUAUGAGAUUAUGUAACUCCCGUGUGCCGGAGGAACACUUUGUGUGCUACCAAACGUCACAGUAACUGGGUGAUUAUAAAGGUGCUCUAUAGGUGUCUCCAAAGGUACAUGUUGGGUUGACGUAUUUCGAGAUUAGGAUUUGUCACUCCGAUCGUCGGAGAGGUAUCUCUGGGCCCUCUCGGUAAUGCACAUCACUUAAGCCUUGCAAGCAUUGCAACUAAUGAGUUAGUUACGGGAUGGUGUAUUACGGAACGAGUAAAGAGACUUGCCGGUAACGAGAUUGAACUAGGUAUUGGAUACCGACGAUCGAAUCUCGGGCAAGUAACAUACCGAUGACAAAGGGAGCAACGUAUGUUGUUAUGCGGUCUGACCGAUAAAGAUCUUCGUAGAAUAUGUAGGAGCCAAUAUGGGCAUCCAGGUCCCGCUAUUGGUUAUUGACCGGAGACGUGUCUCGGUCAUGUCUACAUUGUUCUCGAACCCGUAGGGUCCGCACGCUUAAGGUUUCGAUGACAGUUAUAUUAUGAGUUUAUACGUUUUGAUGUACCAAAGGUUGUUCGGAGUCCCGGAUGAGAUCACGGACAUGAAGAGGAGUCUCGAAAUGGUCGAGACAUAAAGAUUGAUAUAUUGGAAGCCUAUGUUUGGAUAUCGGAAGUGUUCCGGGUGAAAUCGGGAUUUUACCGGAGUACCGGGAGGUUACCGGAACCCCCCGGGAGAUAUAUGGGCCUUAGUGGGCCUUAGUGGAAAAGAGAAGAGGCAGCCAGAGAUGGGCCGUGCGCCCCUCCCCUCCCUUGGUCCGAAUAGGACAAGGAGAGGGGGCCGGCCCCCCUUCCUCUUUUCCCCCCUCCGCGAAUCAUAUUCCAACUAGGAUUGGGGGGCGGGGCGGGGGGAAUCCUACUCCCGGAGGGAGUAGGACUCCUCCUGGCGCGCCACCUCUAGGCCGGCCGCACCCCCCCUUUGAGCCUUUAUAUACGGAGGCAGGGGCACCCCCUAGAGACACAAGUUGAUCCACGUGAUCAUAUUCUUAGCCGUGUGCGGCGCCCCUGCCACCAUAGUCCUCGAUAAUAUUGUAGCGGUGCUUAGGCGAAGCCCUGCGAUAGUAGUACAUCAAGAUCGUCACCACGCCGUCGUGCUGACGGAACUCUUCCCCGACACUUUGCUGGAUCGGAGUCCGGGGAUCGUCAUCGAGCUGAACGUGUGCUAGAACUCGGAGGUGCCGUAGUUUCCGUGCUUGAUCGGUCGGGCCGUGGAGACGUACGACUACAUCAACCAAACGCUUCCGUUGUCGAUCUACAAGGGUACGUAGAUCAUACUCUCCCCUCUCGUUGCUAUGCAUCACCAUGAUCUUGCGUGUGCGUAGGAAUUUUUUUGAAAUUACUACGUUACCCAACAGUGGCAUCCGAGCCUAGGUUUUAUGUGUUGAUGUUAUAUGGACGAGUAGAACACAAGUGAGUUGUGGGCGAUAUAAGUCAUACUGCUUACCAGCAUGUCAUACUUUGGUUCGGCGGUAUUGUUGGAUGAAGCGGCCCGGACCGAUAUUAUGCGUACGCUUACGCGAGACCGGUUCUCCCGACAUGCUUUGCACAUCGGUGGGCUUGCGGGUGACAGUUUCUCCAACUUUAGUUGAACCGAGUGUGGCUACGCCCGGUCCUUGCGAAGGUUAAAACAACACCAACUUGACAAACUAUCGUUGUGGUUUUGAUGCGUAGGUAAGAUUGGUUCUUGCUUAAGCCCAUAGCAGCCACAUAAAACUUGCAACAACAAAGUAGAGGACGUCUAACUUGUUUUUGCAGGGCAUGUUGUGAUGUGAUAUGGUCAAGACAUGAUGCUAAAUUUUAUUGUAUGAGAUGAUCGUGUUUUGUAACUGAGUUAUCGGCAACUGGCAGGAGCCAUAUGGUUGUCGCUUUAUUGUAUGCAAUGCAAUCGCGCUGUAAUGCUUUACUUUAUCACUAAGUGGUAGCGAUAGUCGUGGAAGCAUAAGAUUGGCGAGACGACAACAAUGCUACGAUGGAGAUCAAGGUGUCACGCCGGUGACGAUGGUGAUCAUGAUGGUGCUUCGGAGAUGGAGAUCACAAGCACAAGAUGAUGAUGGCCAUAUCGUAUCACUUAUAUUGAUUGCAUGUGAUGUUUAUCUUUUAUGCAUCUUAUCUUGCUUUGAUUGACGGUAGCAUUAUAAGAUGCUCUCUCACUAAAUUAUCAAGAUAAAAGUGUUCUCCCUGAGUAUGCACCGUUGCCAAAGUUCGUCGUGCCCAGACACCACGUGAUGAUUGGGUGUGAUAAGCUCUAUGUCCAUCUACAACGGGUGCAAGCCAGUUUUGCACACGCAGAAUACUCAGGUUAAACUUGACGAGCCUAGCAUAUGCAGAUAUGGCCUCGGAACACUAAGAUCGAAAGAUCGAGCGUGAAUCAUAUAGUAGAUAUGAUCAACAUAGUGAUGUUCACCAUUGAAAACUACUCCAUUUCAUGUGAUGAUCGGUUAUGGUUUAGUUGAUUUGGAUCACGUGAUCACUUAGAAGAUUAGAGGGAUGUCUAUCUAAGUGGGAGUUCUUUAAGUAAUUUGAUUAAUUGAAUUUAAAUUUAUCAUGAACUUAGUACCUGAUAGUAUCUUGCUUAUGUAUGUUUGAUUGUAGAUAGAUGGCCCGUGCUGUUGUUUCGUUGAAUUUUAAUGCGUUCCUUGAGAAAGCAAAGUUGAAAGAUGAUGGUAGCAAUUACACGGACUGGGUCCGUAACUUGAGGAUUAUCCUCAUUGCUGCACAGAAGAAUUACGUCCUGGAAGCACCGUCGGGUGCCAGGCCUGCUGCUGGAGCAACACUAGAUGUUAUGAACGUCUGGCAGAGCAAAGCUGAUGACUACUCGAUAGUUCAGUGUGCCAUGCUUUACGGCUUAGAAUCGGGACUUCAACGACAUUUUGAACGUCAUGGAGCAUAUGAGAUGUUCCAGGAGUUGAAGUUAAUAUUUCAAGCAAAUGCCCGGAUUGAGAGAUAUGAAGUCUCCAAUAAGCUCUAUAGCUGCAAGAUGGAGGAGAACAGUUCUGUCAGUGAGCAUAUACUCAAAAUGUCUGGAUAUAAUAAUCACUUGAUUCAGAUGGGAGUUAAUCUUCCAGAUGAUUGCGUCAUUAACAUAAUUCUCCAAUCACUGCCACCAAGCUACAAGAGCUUCGUGAUGAACUAUAAUAUGCAAGGGAUGAAUAAGACUAUUCCCGAGCUCUUCGCAAUGCUGAAAGCUGCGGAGGUAGAAAUCAAAAAGGAGCAUCAAGUGUUGAUGGUCAACAAGACCACUAGUUUCAAGAAAAGGGCAAAGGGAAGAAGAAGGGGAACUUCAAGAAGAACAGCAAGCAAGUUGCUGCUCAAGAGAAGAAACCCAAGUCUGGACCUAAGCCUGAAACUGAGUGCUUCUACUGCAAGCAGACUGGUCACUGGAAGCGGAACUGCCCCAAGUAUUUGACGGAUAAGAAGGAUGGCAAGGUGAACAAAGGUAUAUGUGAUAUACAUGUUAUUGAUGUGUACCUUACUAGAGCUCGCAGUAGCACCUGGGUAUUUGAUACUGGUUCUGUUGCUAAUAUUUGCAACUCGAAACAGGGACUACGGAUUAAGCGAACACUGGAAAAGGACGAGGUGACGAUACGCGUGGGAAAUGGUUCCAAAGUCGAUGUGAUCACGGUCGGCACGCUACCUCUACAUCUACCUUCGGGAUUAGUAUUAGACCUAAAUAAUUGUUAUUUGGUGCCAGCGUUGAGCAUGAACAUUAUAUCUGGAUCUUGUUUAAUGCGAGACGGUUAUUCAUUUAAAUCAGAGAAUAAUGGUUGUUCUAUUUUUAUGAGUAAUAUCUUUUAUGGUCAUGCACCUUUGAAGAGUGGUCUAUUCUUGAUGAAUCUCGAUAGUAGUAACACACAUAUUCAUAAUGUUGAAGCCAAAAGAUGCAGAGUUGAUAAUGAUAGUGCAACUUAUUUGUGGCACUGCCGUUUAGGUCAUAUCGGUAUAAAGCGCAUGAAGAAACUCCAUACUGAUGGGCUUUUAGAACCACUUGAUUAUGAAUCACUUGGUACUUGCGAACCGUGCCUCAUGGGCAAGAUGACUAAAACACCGUUCUCCGGUACUAUGGAGAGAGCAACAGAUUUGUUGGAAAUCAUACAUACAGAUGUAUGUGGUCCGAUGAAUAUUGAGGCUCGUGGCGGAUAUCGUUAUUUUCUCACCUUCAUAGAUGACUUAAGCAGAUAUGGGUAUAUCUACUUAAUGAAACAUAAGUCUGAAACAUUUGAAAAGUUCAAAGAAUUUCAGAGUGAAGUUGAAAAUCAUCGUAACAAGAAAAUAAAGUUUCUACGAUCUGAUCGUGGAGGAGAAUAUUUGAGUUACGAGUUUGGUGUACAUUUGAAGCAAUGCAGAAUAGUUUCGCAACUCACGCCACCCGGAACACCACAGCGUAAUGGUGUGUCUGAACGUCGUAAUCGUACUUUACUAGAUAUGGUGCGAUCUAUGAUGUCUCUUACUGAUUUAACACUAUCAUUUUGGGGUUAUGCUUUAGAGACGGACGCAUUCACGUUAAAUAGGGCACCAUCAAAAUCCGUUGAGACGACACCUUAUGAACUAUGGUUUGGCAAGAAACCAAAGUUGUCGUUUCUUAAAGUUUGGGGCUGCGAUGCUUAUGUGAAAAAGCUUCAACCUGAUAAGCUCGAACCCAAAUCGGAAAAAUGUGUCUUCAUAGGAUACCCAAAGGAGACUGUUGGGUACACCUUCUAUCACAGAUCCGAAGGCAAGACAUUCGUUGCUAAGAAUGGAUCCUUUCUAGAGAAGGAGUUUCUCUCGAAAGAAGUGAGUGGGAGGAAAGUAGAACUUGAUGAGGUAACUGUACCUGCUCCCUUAUUGGAAAGUAGUACAUCACAGAAACCUGUUUCUGCGACAACUAUACCCAUCAGUGAGGAAGCUAAUGAUAAUGAUCAUGAAACUUCAGGACAAGAUACUAUUGAGCCUCGUAGAUCAACCAGAGUAAGAUCCGCGCCAGAGUGGUACGGUAAUCCUGUUCUGAAAAUCAUGCUACUAGAUCAUGAUGAACCUACGAACUAUGGAGAAGCGAUGGUGAGCCCAGAUUCCGCAAAAUGGCUUGAAGCCAUGAAAUCUGAGAUGGGAUCCAUGUAUGAGAACAAAGUAUGGACUUUGGUUGACUUGCCCGAUGAUCGGCAAGCAAUUGAGAAUAAAUGGAUCUUCAAGAAGAAGAUUGACGCUGACGGUAAUAUUACUAUCUACAAAGCUCGACUUGUUGCAAAAGGUUUUCGACAAGUUCAAGGUGUUGACUACGAUGAGACCUUCUCACCCGUAGCGAUGCUUAAGUCUGUCCGAAUCAUGUUAGCAAUUGCCGCAUUUUAUGAUUAUGAAAUUUGGCAGAUGGAUGUCAAAACUGCAUUCCUGAAUGGAUUUCUGGAAGAAGAGUUGUAUCUGAUGCAACCGGAAGGUUUUGUCGAUCCAAAGGGAGCUAACAAAGUGUGCAAGCUCCAGCGAUCCAUUUUGGACUGGUGCAAGCCUCUCGGAGUUGGAAUAAACGCUUUGAUAGUGUGAUCAAAGCAUUUGGUUUUAGACAGACUUUUGAGAAGUCUGUAUUUACAAAAAAGUGAGUGGGAGCUCUGUAGCAUUUCUGAUAUUAUAUGUGGAUGACAUAUUACUGAUUGGAAAUGAUAUAGAAUUUCUGGAUAGCAUAAAGGGAUACUUGAAUAAGAGUUUUUCAAUGAAAGACCGCGGUGAAGCUGCUUACAUAUUAGGCAUAAAGAUCUAUAGAGAUAGAUCAAAACGCUUAAUUGGACUUUCACAAAGCACAUACCUUGACAAGAUUUUGAAGAAGUUCAAAAUGGAUCAAGCAAAGAAAGGGUUCUUGCCUGUGUUACAAGGUGUGAAGUUGAGUCAGACUCAAUGCCCGACCACUGCAGAAGAUAGAGAGAAAAUGAAAGAUGUUCCCUAUGCUUCAGCCAUAGGCUCUAUCAUGUAUGCAAUGCUGUGUACCAGACCUGAUGUGUGCCUUGCUGUAAGUCUAGCAGGAAGGUACCAAAGUAAUCCAGGAGUGGAUCACUAGACAGCGGUCAAGAACAUUCUGAAAUACCUGAAAAGGACUAACGAUAUGUUUCUCGUAUAUGGAGGUGACAAAGAGCUCAUCGUAAACGGUUACGUUGAUGCAAGCUUUGACACUGAUCCGGACGAUUCUAAAUCGCAAACCGGAUACGUGUUUACAUUAAACGGUGGAGCUGUCAGUUGGUGCAGUUCUAAACAAAGCGUCGUGGCGGGAUCUACAUGUGAAGCGGAGUACAUAGCUGCUUCGGAAGCAGCAAACGAAGGAGUCUAGAUGAAGGAGUUCAUAUCCGAUCUAGGUGUCAUACCUAUUGCAUCGGGUCCAAUGAAAAUCUUUUGUGACAAUACUGGUGCAAUUGCCUUGGCAAAGGAAUCCAGAUUUCACAAGAGAACCAAACACAUCAAGAGACGCUUCAAUUCCAUCCAGGAUCUAGUCCAGGUGGGAGACAUAGAGAUUUGCAAGAUACAUACGGAGCUGAAUGUAGCAGACCCAUUGACUAAGCCUCUUGCACGAGCAAAACAUGAUCAACACAAAAGGUCCAUGGGUGUUAGAAUCAUUACUAUGUAAUCUAGAUUAUUGACUCUAGUGCAAGUGGGAGACUGAAGGAAAUAUGCCCUAGAGGCAAUAAUAAAGUUAUUAUUUAUUUCCUUAUAUCAUGAUAAAGGUUUAUUAUUCAUGCUAGAAUUGUAUUAACCGGAAACAUAAUACAUGUGUGAAUACAUAGACAAACAGAGUGUCACUAGUAUGCCUCUACUUGACUAGCUCGUUAAUCAAAGAUGGUUAUGUUUCCUAACCAUGGACAAAGAGUUGUCAUUUGAUUAAGGGAUCACAUCAUUAGUUGAAUGAUCUGAUUGACAUGACCCAUUCCAUUAGCUUAGCACCCGAUCGUUUAGUAUGUUGCUAUUGCUUUCUUCAUGACUUAUACAUGUUCCUAUGACUAUGAGAUUAUGUAACUCCCGUGUGCCGGAGGAACACUUUGUGUGCUACCAAACGUCACAACGUAACUGGGUGAUUAUAAAGGUGCUCUACAGGUGUCUCCAAAGGUACAUGUUGGGUUGACGUAUUUCGAGAUUAGGAUUUGUCACUCCGAUCGUCGGAGAGGUAUCUCUGGGCCCUCUCGGUAAUGCACAUCACUUAAGCCUGCAAGCAUUGCAACUAAUGAGUUAGUUGUGGAAUGAUGUAUUAUGGAACGAGUAAAGAGACUUGCCGGUAACGAGAUUGAACUAGGUAUUGGAUACCGACGAUCGAAUCUCGGGCAAGUAACAUACCGAUGACAAAGGGAGCAACGUAUGUUGUUAUGCGGUCUGACCGAUAAAGAUCUUCAUAGAAUAUGUAGGAGCCAAUAUGGGCAUUCAGGUCCCGCUAUUGGUUAUUGACCGGAGACGUGUCUCGGUCAUGUCUACAUUGUUCUCGAACCCAUAGGGUCCGCAUGCUUAAGGUUUCGAUGACAGUUAUAUUAUGAGUUUAUACGUUUUGAUGUAUCGAAGGUUGUUCAGAGUCCCGGAUGAGAUCACGGAUAUGACGAGGAGUCUCGAAAUGGUCGAGACAUAAAGAUUGAUAUAUUGGAAGCCUAUGUUUGGAUAUCGGAAGUGUUCCGGGUGAAAUCGGAAUUUUACCGGAGUACCGGAAGGUUACCGGAACCCCCCGGGAGAUAUAUGGGCCUUAGUGGGCCUUAGUGGAAAAGAGAAGAGGCAGCCAGAGAUGGGCCGCGUGCCCCUCCCCUCCCUUGGUCUGAAUAGGACAAGGAGAGGGGGCCGGCCCCCCUUCCUCUUUUCCCCCCUCCGUGAAUCCUAUUCCAACUAGGAUUGGGGGGGGGAUCCUACUCCCGGCGGGAGUAGGACUCCUCCUGGCGCGCCACCUCUAGGCCGGCCGCACCCCCCCUUUGAGCCUUUAUAUACGGAGGCAGGGGCACCCCCUGGAGACACAAGUUGAUCCACGUGAUCAUAUUCUUAGCCGUGUGCGGCGCCCCCUGCCACCAUAGUCCUCGAUAAUAUUGUAGCGGUGCUUAGGCGAAGCCCUGUGACAGUAGUACAUCAAGAUCAUCACCACGCGGUCGUGCUGACGGAACUCUUCCCCGACACUUUGCUGGAUCGGAGUCCGUGGAUUGUCAUCGAGCUGAACGUGUGCUAGAACUCGGAGGUGCCGUAGUUUCGGUGCUUGAUCGGUCGGGCCGUGAGACGUACGACUACAUCAACCAAACGCUUCCGUUGUCGAUCUACAAGGGUACGUAGAUCACACUCUCCCCUCUCGUUGCUAUGCAUCACCAUGAUCUUGCGUGUGCGUAGGAAUUUUUUUGAAAUUACUACGUUACCCAACAAUAUUAUCAACAGAGAUUGUAAAAUAGACUAUGCGGGUGAGGCAAUCUUGGAAUAUUUACUUUCAUUACCAGAUCAGGAACUAUGUAUUAUGGGCACUCGUAAUGUGCGUGACAUGAUUGCCAUAUCAGCCUGGUACUUGUGGUGGGAAAGGUGCACAUUGAUACACAAUGAGACUACUCAGAAUGCACAACAGAUAUCCAUGGGGAUACGCGCUCUCGCUGCCAAUUUUGUUAAUGCCUCCUCGCCUAAGGCUUCCAUGAAAAGAGGAGGAUGGUCUAACCCCCCGACAGGAUUUGUUAAACUUAACGUUGAUGCUUCUUUUGACCACGACCUUCUCAGGGGUACGAUCGGGGCUGUCUUAAGAGAUGACAAAGGUAGGUUCAUCGGUGGGGGAAAUGGUAAGAUUGACUGGUGUGCAGAUGUGUUGAUGGCUGAAGCUUUGGCGUUAAAAUUUGGUCUAUCGCUUGCGCAAAGGACAGGUUGUAAUCGCAUAAUUAUUAACUCGGAUAAUAUGGAGGUGAUCGAGACCAUGAACGAAGGAGGACGAUCGUCGGGGGCAGUUGGUGCAAUUUUUGAUGACUGUUUUCACUUAGCUUGCGAUUUUCCUAUUUCUAGAUUCGAGCAUUAUAAUAGAGAAGCAAAUAAAGUUGCUCAUGAACUUGCCAAGUUGGCUAGAUUUUCUUUCAUUUAUGAUUGGUUUGAGGAACCACAUAAUGCAAUUGUACCGAUCCUCAUAAACGAUGUAAUGAUUAUUUCUAAUGAAUAAAGCUUGAACUUUCUUAAAAAAACCGUGACAUCCCUUCUUCACAUUCAUAUGAUUAAGCCUAAAAUGAUUAUAAUUAAUUUGAAAAUUACAAAUCUACUGUAUACAUUUACAAAAAUUACAUACAAACAAAAUUAUGGUGCAAUAAAAUUAUAUUUUGAUUUAUUUCUGUACAUGCUACAGUAAAUCCGCACAUUAGUUGCUACAGUAACCAUGACAUCCCUUCUUCGCUUUACACACGCAUUUUACUAUAGCUUCGUGACAUCCCUUGAGAAUAUUAAAGGAUCCACUUCCUGUUUAAUCAUAUGGCUCAAGAAAGUCAGGGGAGAAAAUAAAUCGCUGUGUCAAAGAGAAAAAAAAAUGACAUAUUAGCGCUCAUCAGGCCAGGCCAUGAACAAAACAGGGCACUUUUUAUGCUCGCCUGACCAGGCAGAUUUUUUGAAGUUCUUAGGCACAUGUCAGACAACAAUAUAUCCUAGGCGUGGUGUCCAGGACAUCAACCAAACUGGCUCUAUUUCUCUAAUCCAUCGCUCGAACUCCUUCUUGCGAUCAUCACCAGAAAAAAUAAUAACAUAAAUGAUUUAUGGCUUUGGGAAUGUUAUAAUGUUUUAGAUGCUUGUGAAAUAUCAUGACGACAAACUGAGCCUAGAUCACAUAGAUAGAUUCUUUGUGGUGGAAUCAUUCCAUCUGGGUUUAAGUCUGAAACUUGACACUGGUGAUCGCAUUUUUCUGUAUUUAUUCGAGACUUUCUGACGAUAUUUGUUUAGUAGGAGGAGACGUUUCUGUCGACUACAUAGGCUCCUGUGAUGACUUCUUCAAUCUCAAGAUGAUAUGCCGGCUUAGUCUCUUGAAGGCGUCUAUAAAUAUAGGAUGUGCGUGUGUGCAUUUAUAGAGAUGAGUGUAUAUUUAUAUACUAGCAAAUAUGCCUGUGCGUUGCAACGGAAGAAAAAAUUACACGUUGGUCAAUAUCCGACAUAUGAAUGUCCUCUAUUUUAACACGAUGGCUCAUCAUGUUGCCAAUUAUCUUUCUUCUCACUCUCGUUGAUGAUGGAUGCAAUAUCCACGUGAUCGCAAUGCAUUCAACGUGGUAAAAAAUGGGCUUGUCACUGUACGACACACUUGUCAUUGUCUCGCGCAAGGGAAUGUUUUAAACUUUGAAAACAAAUCUCAUCGACCAUGGACUACUCGCCAACCCCAAGACAUAUAAAGAAUUUCCAAAAUUAAUCAAAUCCUAGAUAUAAAAUACAUCUGAAUAGGAAGAGUUUUUUGAAUCGACAAACAUUCUUUUUAAAUUUAGACAUUUUUUUAAAUUCACAAACAUUUGUUUUUUAGACGAACAUUUAUUGAAAUGCAUGAAUAGUUUUUGAUUUCAUGAUGACUCAGAUUCACAAAUAUGUUUUGAAUACACGAUCAUUUUAUCAAGAUCAUGAACUUGAUUUUAUUUAACGACAUUUCUUUCCAAAUUAUUUUUAUAAUUUGCAAAUAUUUUUGUAAAAUCAGUAACAUUUUUUGAAACCACGAAAAUUUUAUGAUUUCCUGAACUUUUUUGAAUUCACACACAUUUUAUAAUUUCUCAAACAGCUUUUUGAAACUCGCAACUUUUUAAUACUUGAAAAUCUCAAAUUGAUUUAAAGAAGGAGAAAACAAAAACAGAAGUGAGAAAAGAGAAGACCAGAAAAAAGAAAAAAAAACAGGGCAUUAAGUCCGCUGGCUGGCCCAUGUAGGCCUAAAGUAGGUGGGAAUAAGUCAUGAGAAAAAGGUGGAGGAAAAUAUUGGUAGAAGCUGGGGUUCGAACCCUGGUCUACAGGGCAGAAGACAAUGCAUCGAGCCACCGCGCUACUACCGCGUCACUGCUAUUAGUUGGAUAUUAACUGUCGACUACAUAUGCUCCUGUGAUGACUUCUUUAAUCUCGAAAUGAUAUGCCGGCUUAGUCUCUUGAAGGCGUCUAUAAAUAUAAGAUGUGCGUGUGUGCAUUUAUAGAGAUGAGUGUAUAUUUAUAUAAAUAAUCGUCUGCGUUGUUACUGUGUUAAAAUCUAUUAGCAACAUGUCAUGAUGAAGUAAUAUUAGCAUUGACUCGUUGACCUGAGUGUUGCGAGGUGGCUUCCCCUCCCCCAUUCUCAUCCCCUUUUCCUCCGGCCACACUCCCCCGCUAGCUAGCCAUUGACCGUGCCGGUGAUUCCCGGCCAAGGAAAGGGAGAGCAAUGGAGGCGGCGAUAAUCUGCGCGCUGCUGAAGACCACGCUGCCGAAGGCCCUGUCGGCGCUGGGCGGGAGCAGGGACGUCCGGUCCAUCCAGUCGGAGCUCAGGUACAUCGAGGCCGCCAUCCAGGACCACCGCAGGAGGAGCGGCGGCAGGGACACGAGCCACCUGCGGGCGGCGUGGAUCCAGGACCUCACGCUCUUCGCCUUCGACAUCGAGGACUGCGUCGACCGCUUCCUGCGGCAGGAGAUGCCGCCGGAGGACGGCGAGGCCGGCUUCCUCCGCCGCUCCGCCCACGCCGCCAGGAGCACGGUGUUCACGCGCACGUUGUUCUCCCUCAGGAUCCGCAAGCUCAAGGCCAGAUCCGAGGAGAUUCACCGGCGCCUGAAGCGGUACAUCGAGGAGGCGGCGGCGGAGGGGACGAUACCAGACGGCGGCGGGGCGCCGGUCCCUGCCGCUCGGUGCGGUGCUCCGGCGGCGGCCGUGGGGAUGGACGAGCCUCUUGGGGAGCUUCUUGAGCUCGUGCGGGAACCUGGGGGGCCGUCGGAGGGGAAGCUCAGGGUGAUCUCCGUCGUCGGCUUCCAUGGCCUGGGCAAGACUCUUCUUGCCCACCAGGUGUUCGACCACGGCGACGUGCGCCGCCUGUUCCCUCUGCGGGUUUGGGUUUGCGCCGCGGGCAAGGGCACGCCAGAGCUUCUGAAGGAGAUGCUCGAUCAAGUGCUCCAGAAUGGUGCGGGCACCUCCGCCGACAGGGCCCGGCAGGUUGACUCUGCACCUGUGACCACCACGACCACCUACAAAUCCAACUGCGUCAUCCCAGAGGUCGAGGAGAAUGGCAUUGAGGAAGUCCAGAAUGGUGAGAGUGCCUCAGCCGGUGUCGCCAACGGCGGCAGUACAUGGCGCCAGUGCCUCCAAGCAGUUUGGUGGACUCUCGCGACGAUACUGCUGUACAUCUUGUCCCCGGCGUUCACCGUGGCAAACAUGGUGCGAGCCUCUUCUGUCCAAGAUGAGUCUGCAGACAUACAUACUGCUACUGCGAAUGUGAGUAUCUCCACAAGCACCAAGAUCGCCGCACAAGUCGAUGAGAACAAGAGUGUCCAGAUGAAGAGGCAAGCUGACAGGGGCAAGGCUAUUCAGGAGGACACUCACUUGGAAGGUGUAUGUGAUACAACGCUCAUCGAACAACGUCUAGGAUCAUACCUGAAGAAUAAAAGGUGAUCUCUUUUUUUUUUGUUGAUUAAUUUUCUCUACACACAUAUAUACAGGUUCACGGCUUACACAUAUAAAAGAUACUCCGUGCUAUGGAUUAAUUUGGUAAAUCUAUACUACUGUAAUUUCAACAGCUAAAUGAGUUCUUCAUAUGUAACCAAUAAUUUACAAGAAUAGUUGCUCUGGGCCAUCUUUUGUAGGAUUAUGUAUGAAGUGAUUAAUUCUGACAUAGAAAUCUAAGUGGAAACAUUUAAACUCAACUCUGUUUUGUAAGAUCUAGUUCUGAUUGUUCGGUCAGUCUCGAGAGUAAGUUUAGUUAGUAUAUUACUUACUAUUUAGUCCGUCUCAAGAUCUAUUUAGCUGCAGAGGAGAAGGGAUAUAUUACUUACUAUUUUUAUUUCCUCAAUUUACGUUUUGUAGGUAUUUGAUUGUAAUUGAUGGCAUGCAAACAGAAGAAUUGUGCAACAUAACAUCUGUAUUCCCUGUGGAUGACGGAGUGGACAGCAGAGUUAUUGUGACGACAACCAUUAAGAAAAUAGCAAGACGCUGCAGCUCUGCCAAUGGCCGUGUGUACAAAAUGAAAACACUUGAUGACAAUGAUUCAAGAAAGUUGUUCUUCGAAGUAUUUUCCAAGGGUAAGUAUUCCGUUGCUGAUGCAACGGAGUUGAAAGCAUCUGCCCUCCUAGAGAAAUGUGGCGGCCUACCGCUUGCCCUUGAAAGCAAAGCAAAGUUUCUGAAGAGUGAAGAAGACCUGACCAAGAGUAAAUGUGAAGAUGCCUGCCGCAAGCUUUGUGCUCCAGAAAGAUGUGAGGACACAUUGGGAAGAAUGCAUGGGGUUCUCGCCAGCAGCUACGAGAGUCUAUGUAGCCUUGUUCUCCAGCAGUGCUUGCUAUAUUUCUGCAUGUUCCCGCGUGGCCAUCGUGUCAGGCGGAAUCCUCUAAUCAGGCGGUGGCUGGCGGAAGGACUUGUACAUGUACAACCAGGGGAUGCAGUGAGCACCACACCCCAAGACAUCGCAAUUGAGAAUUUGGAGACCCUGAUCGACCGUAGUAUCAUUCAGUCCACGGAAGUGAGCACCUGUGGGAAUGUGAAGAGAUGCCAACCUCCUGGGAUGAUGCUCGAGUACAUUGUCCGCAAGUCCAUGUCUCAAAAUUUCAUCACCUUGCUUUGUGGUGAGAGUGAGACGGCCGGAGAAUGGGACUACGUUCGCCGACUUUCUCUCCAUGAUUACUGUGCUGAAAAACUGCCCAAGGGCUUAUCUCGUCUGCGGACCCUGGCGGUAUUCCCUACCGGGGAUGCUGCUAAACACGGACCUACAUUGAAUUUUGCCAAGUAUGACCUACUGCGAGUGUUGGAUUUAGAAGAAUGUGAUGGUCUGAAUGACGGGCACCUCCAGAACAUAUGCAACCUUGUGUUUCUGAAAUAUCUGAGCCUCGGGGGGCGCAUUAGUGAGGUUCCAAAGAAAAUUGCCAAGCUGCAAUGGUUGGAGACACUGGACCUGAGAAGAACCAAGAUAGAGAAGGUGCCCAUAGAAGUCAUCCAGCUCCCCCAAUUAAAACAUCUCCAUGGCAAAUUUCAGCUUAUCGAAGGUGACUGCGGAAAGAUAAAUUCAGAGUACUUGUCAAAGAGAAGUAUCUUGGAGACACUUUCAGGAUUUGUUACGGGAGAGAGCGAAGGAUUUCCACAGCUGAUGAGGCACAUGAAGCGGCUGAGGAAGGUGAAAAUAUGGUGCGAAUCCACCGCAAAUAGAAGAAACCUGGACCAACUUGAGGAAGCCAUCAAGAUGUUCAUUCGUGAUGGGAACGAAUGGCCUCAUCGUUCCCUAUGCAUUAACUUCCAAGAAUGCUCAGACCCAUUCUUGGGUUCUCUGAAAGCCCCUGGCAGUCUUGCCUCGCUGAAGCUGCGCGGCAACCUCAGCGGAUUCCCUCAGUUUGUUACCAAGCUGAACAGAAUCGAGGAGCUGUGUCUGUCGUCGACUAACCUAAGCCGAGGUGUUCUUCUAUCUGGGAGUCGUCUGGACACACUUAAGUAUCUGAAGCUGAUCGAAGACAACAUCGGGCCUCUCGAAAUACGCCACGAGCACUUCCCAAGCAUCCGGCGCAUAUGGCUCGUCGGCGUGAAAAGUCUGCACUCUGUAACGACCGGAGCUCUGCCACAUCUUACUUCGCUUCAUAUGAUCUGUGAAUCUUUAGAUGGUCUUGCUGGCAUCGAAAUCGGACGCCUAGAAGGAUUAAAGGAAGUCAGGCUGCAUUCUGCAGUCGACCAAGGAACAAAAGAUGCAUGGAAGGAAGCUGCAAGGAGCCACCCUAAAAGGCCUGACGUUCUUCUUCACUGACUACUGUUCUGUGCUGGGUCGAUGUAUCUCUUCAAAGUUAUGUAGAUUACUUGGUUACAAUUGUUGGUUUUAGGACAGAGAUAGUCAUUUCUAUUGCUGCUUUUUAUUCUUACUACACAAUCAUCUGUGUGUGGCAACGGGAGCAUAGUAUUUUAAUAGAUUAGCCCGUGAUUUACGUUAUCCAUAUGAAUGUGAUUGUGUAAAUAAAGUAUUUUAUUUGGUAAGCAUUCAUUGACUUACCAAAGAAAACAUAAGGGCAGUGCCAUGUGUCAUCGAGUGAUAAUGUAAAAAGAUUGACCGUCUCGCCCGCUGUUGGAUGGAGCCCCGAAUAGCCGCCUGAUCUCUCCCAUGUGAGCGUGGGUCUUUGCAACAAGGCUUUUUUUAAGGGAGUCUUUGCAACAAGGCUAGUGUUACGGUCGGCCCUAUGCAACCGGAGCCUUGUUGCAAUCUUCCGGGGCCGCUUUUUUUCCUUCUAAAACAAGGCCUUUGUUGCAGUCACAACAAAGUCUGCAAUAAAAUCCCAUGAUUUAUUUGUUUUCUCCUUGUCCUUUUAUCCCUUGAAACAAAGCCUCUUUUCCAAUCGCAGCAAAAUCCCAUCAAUUUGUUGACAAGGGAAACACUAGUGUUCCUACCAUCUAACCCUUUGAUUUGAGGAAGGUUUCUAUUGAAAUUGGCGGCCUACAGCGAGUGAAAAGGGGUGUGUGGAUUGGUUCCUGAUAAGAUGGACCUUUCUCUGCUCCUCUUGUUACCAAACGGAGCCAUCAAACAGGGAAGAUGAGGGGGAAUGAGGCCAUGUUUGUUUGGGUUUUUACUUCUGCUUUUUAGUUUUUCCAUUUUGACAAAAGGCCAAAAAAAACUCUUAAAUAUGUGCUUCGGCUUUCCGGCAUUGCCCCCUCGUCCCAUUCCGGCUUGGCUCUUUGGUAGGUGUUGCAGAUGUCUUGCUCUUGGUCAUCAAGCGGCUGAUUGCAGAGAUCCCUUGAGGUGCUUCCGCUGUUUGGAGAACGGCCACUGGGCGCGUGGGUGUCGCAAUGCUUGGCAUCCAUUCAGCUCACUUGCAUGCCUUGCCAUGCCGCCACGGUCUCGCCUCGACACCGAGCAUUGCCGAGCUCCAGCUCCUUGUGAUGGCCCGAUGGAAUCCCAGCUCCCCUCCAAGGCGCUUCACCGCAGGUCCUGGGCAUCGGCCGUUUCCGCUCAUGCUGAGUCGGCAACCCCAUCUGAUGUACUGCUCCAGUCCACUCUAGCAGCCCAGGCUGAGCUCCUGGUGCGUGUUGGGAGCUUUCUGGAGCGAGCGGAGGCUGCUCUGGAAAAGCUCUCUCUUGUGCCGGCUGUGUUGCAAUCCGCUCCUACGCCACAUCCUCCUAGUGAGGUUGAUGUUGGUGGCUCAGUGGAGAAUAGGGUUGCGGAGCUCUAUGGUUGUUUCUCCCCUAGAGCUAUGGACAACUCAUCAUCGCCGUCUGCCUUGGCCACUUUGAUGUCUACCGCUAAGGGCGGGACCAUUGCCGUGGUUGUGCCUCCAGUGCUGCAGGUGAUGCCCGAGCUUCAAGUGUUAUGUGCGAGCUCUGAUUCACCUCUAUCAGUGGAGAAUAUGAUGGUGGAGACGCAGGCAACCACGUGCGAGGGGCAUGAUUCAACCUUGACAUGUGAGCUGAGUGAGGUGAACUCGCCUGCGCGCUCACAUGUGGCUUCUACUCCCAGUCCACCCCCGCCGACGGAUAAUUCCAAUGCUCUCUUUGCAAAAGAGCUUUGUGACUUGCUCGCUAGCGUGGAGACUGUUAGCCCUGGAACUGGAAGGGCGAUUGCUUGCCUCCUGACGGGAACGACAUUCAAGGGCAAAUACAAGAAGGCGAGUGAUUGCCCUCGGACCGGUAUAGUGAUGGAGAAGCCACUAAGGUGCAAAGGCAAGAAGAGUGGCGCCAUAGGUAAGGCGCCCGCAGCUGCUUAAUGGAUGAUUCCCGGUCCCUUGGUUCAUACUCACAGUUUGGGGUCGUCAUUGUGAUUUCAGCGUGGUCCACUAUCUUUUGUUGGGAUGUUCUUGUCGGAUUCAAAAUUGUGGUGUACAAGUGUGAGGAGUUAUUGUGUGUUAGGAGGGGUUGGCGGGUUGCACGUGUGCUCAUGGGGUCAUGAUUGGUGAGUAACCCAAUUAUGGUCUGAUUGUAUCGGUUUUAGCCCGAUUUUCCUUGGAUUAACCGGGCAAUUUUCUUCUUCUUAAUUAAUCGAUGAGGCAAUUCUUUUGCCUCUGUUUCAAAAAAAUAAAAUAAAGAUAUUGAUUCAUAAGCCAAAAGCCGAAGCAAAAAGUCCAUAUUUAGGAGUUUUUGUGCUUUUUUUUAAAAGUGAAAAAGAUGCAAAAGCAGAAGCAAAAAACCAAAAAAUAGGACAUGAGGCAACGACAUGUAUGGAAGUUGUGCCGGCGGGUAGAGUUGGGAGGGCGACCUGUAUGGAAGUUGUGCCGGCGGGUAGAGUUGGGAAUAUAGCUGGCCAUAAAUUGGGUCAGGCCUAAUAAAGCCCGUAGCAGAAAACCUAGGCCUGGGCCUAGAUUUCAGCCCCAGGCCCGAUCCAUCAGAGGAAAAGCCCGUCGGGCCUCAGGCCGGGCCUCUUCCCUAAAACGCAAAUAUGCCAAGCUCAAGCCCGACCCAUGGGCAAGACUGGGCUGACCGGGCCGGGCCUAAUAAAGCCCGUAGCAUAAAACUUAGGUCCGGGCCUAGAUUUCAUGCCCAGACCUAUCCCUUCAAAGAAAAAGCCCGUCGGGCCUCGGGCUAGGCCUAAAAUGCAAAUAUGACAAGCCCAAGCCCGGCCCAACCCAGCCUUUGGGUUCAGAUUUCAGGCCCAGGCCCGGCCCAUGGGCAAGACCGGGCCGGGUUUUCCAUGGCCAGGUAUAGUAGGGAGUCACUGCUCUGAAUUUUUAUAUGGUGGAGAUGCUCUUAGGGGUCGUAAUCUGAACCGUGAGACAGGUUAGGGGUAACAUUGACUUCUCUCUUGGGUUCUUCUUCUUCCAUGAGUCCCGUUCACCACACCUGUGCUGCCAUGGCGUAGCUCCACCUCGUGCUCCUCAAUCGGAAUCUCUUGGUGCAGGUAAUUCCGCCCUCUUUUUAUUCUGCUGCUGCUUCGCUUCUCACCCAUGACUACCACAGCUGUCUUGUUCUUGCUUCAGCUACAGGCGGGGAUCGAUGUUCCGAUUUAUCAGUGCUUGGCUACAGGUGGUGCUCCGGUAUAUCGCCGCAUGGCUUCAGGCGGCGGCGGCCGCGGCGGCGGCAGCGGCGGAUAAACUGGAUGCUGCGUCGCUCUCGCUUCAGGGGACGGCGGCCAUGGAUUUUCCUGCUACUGUUUCGCUUGGCCCCCUCCACCGGCAGCUCCAUUCAUUCAGGGCUGCCACGAACAAUCUCCCCGACGGGGUUAGCGAUGGCGAGGUCCGGCGCCUCGAAGAAGAUCUGGAGACACUGUUCACCGAGCUCAAGAUCGUGUCGGAGGCGGACGACCCCAGCUUCACGGCCAGGUGCUGGAUGAAGGAGGUGCGGGAGCUCCGCUACGACGCAGAGGACUUCUUCAACGAGGUCCCGCGCUCCUCCGCCGGCGCCGGCAGAAGCGCUCUUCACACCCUCAUUCUUUCGAUCCCCAGAAAACUGAAGCUUCGGCGCCAGGUUGCAGAAGCUUUCUCAGAUCUGUGUGCUCGUGCCAAGGAUGCGAGUCAAAGACGCCAAAGUUUCCAGCUUGGACCAGCAACCAUCAGACCUGAAUCUGGACAAGUCAAUGUCAGCCGCUCCAAGAGCCUCGGACUUAUUGGCCUUGAGGAGUCCAUGGAUAAGCUUGUCAAACUGAUGGCUUUAGACGACCAAGAGAUUGCAGAGCUGCUGGCUUUUGACAGUGAAGAUACAGAGCAACUAGUUCAGGUGGUACCUAUCUUUGGAUCUGCAGGUGUUGGCAAAACAACACUUGCCAGAACCUUCUACCGUAACUUCGGGGGGAAAUUCCAGUGCCGGGCUUUCGUGCGGGUGUCUCGAAAUCCAGAUAUGAGGAGGAUGCUUUCCAGCAUGCUCUCACAAAUUAAGGCACCGCCGGUUCAUGGCUUUCCUGAUGUGCAGGACCUUAUUGACCAUAUCAGAGGAUAUCUGCAAUGCAAAAGGUACAUAUUCUAUUAGUACUGAAUACUCCUGAUGUGCAUAAGUACCUUUCAACAAUAUGUACAUUUCAGUUUGUGCAUCAGGGUUGUUAUGCUCAAUCCUGAUGUACACGAUCAAGUGUGCUUUCACCACCGGUCCAUCAGGAAUAUGUACAUGUACCUUUUGCAUUGUUGAAUAUGUACAUUUAGGAAUAUGUGCAGGACCUUAUUGACCAUCCCAGAGAAUAUCUGCAAUGCAAAAGGUAUAUUAACAAUAGAGAAUAUCUGGAAUGCAAAAGGUACAUGUACAUGUCUUUUAACUGGACAAACGGUGCAUUGUUGAAAAACAAUGAUAAAUGUUUGAGCAAAUAAGCACUACUGUAUAUCUUAAGAGGCUAUUUGGGUUGGAUUUAGGAAAAAUAAACCUUUUCAAUUUUCUAUUCUUCAUGAAUUUUGAUUGCAGGAAGUUGAUGAAUUGGGAAAAGUAAACCAUUAUUUUUGGAUUCCUUAUCACACAUGUACAUGUACCAAUCUAGAGCCCAGGGGAAUAGACAAAGUUGCCUCUUAUGUAAUCUUAAGAGCAUAAGUUUUUUUUCAAUACUUUUUUUCCGGUGUAGCAAAUUACUUGUUUCGAUUGUUUACUUCACUGCCUGAUUGAUCUUCCUUUGGCUAUACCAAUUUCCUUAGGAUAUAGUAUUUCUUACUUUAAGAUUACUAACAAUAAUACCAAUUUCCUUUUAAUUUGUGGUUAAUUUAUUUAUUUUAUUUUGGCUAUACUUCUUUCUUUCUUUUUUGUCAGCUUGACAAACAUAUUUAUUGUGAAUAAAAUAUUCUGCAGAUACUUGAUUGUAAUUGAUGACUUAUGGGCCUCCUCGACAUGGGAUAUUAUUAGCCGUGCUUUCCCUGAUGGUGAUUGUUGCUGCAGAAUAAUAGUAACCACGGAAAUCAAGGAUGUAGCAUUGGCAUGCAGUAGGUAUCAGUUUAAGUACAUGUAUGAGAUGAGUCCUCUUAACGGUGAUCAGUCAAGACAGUUAUUCCUCGGUAGAGUUUUUGGGUCUGAAAAUGGUUGUCCUCCAGAUUUCAAAGAAGUUACAUAUGAGAUUAUCCGAAAAUGUGGAGGUUUACCAUUAGCAACUGAAAAUAUAGCCAGCAUGUUAGCAUGUGAAUUAAACAUUGAUCAAUGGAAGCACAUACGAGAUUCUUUACCCUCUGUUUUGAGAUUGAGGACAGACCCUAGUUCGGAAGGGUUGAAAGAAGUUCUGAACAUUAUUUAUGAUAAUCUUUCACCAUAUUUGAAGACAUGCUUGCUAUAUCUUAUUAUGUAUCCAGAGGGAAGCACUAUCAGCAAGGACGAAUUAGUGACGCAAUGGAUAACUGAAGAUUUUAUCGGCGAAGGGCAAGACAGGGAGAAAAUUGCACGGCAUUAUUUUGAUGAGCUUGUGAGUAGAGGAAUGAUCCAACCUCUUGACAGAAAUUAUAACGAUGAGGUGUUGACAUGUACAGUUCACCACAUGGUACUAGAUCUUAUUAGGUACAAAUCUCUGGAGGAGAAUUUCAUCAUUAUUGUGAGUUGUUUUCAAACAAUUACAGGUCUUCCUGACAAGGUUCGUCGACUGUCUGUCCAGUUCGGUGGUGCAAAAUGUGCUAAUAUACCGGCAGACUUUAUGAUGACUCAAGUUAGAUCGCUUAUAUUUUUUGGCUUCUUGAACUGUGUGCCUUCCUUUGUGGAAUAUAAGCUGCUUCGAGUUCUGAUUCUUCAUAUCUGGGCUGAUCAAAGCAAAAUAUUUGACCUCACUAGAAUUAGCAAACUGUUUCAGCUGAGGUAUCUGAAAAUUGAUUGCAACAUCACUGUCCAUUUGCCAGACGAGAUUCAGCAGCUACGAUUCUUGGAGACAUUGGAAUUGCAUGCACCAGUAAGUGAUAUGCCAUCGGAUAUUAGUUGCUUGCCCUUACUUCACACGCUGGGCUAUUUUGAUCUCGGCAAGAACUCAAUAGAGAAUGUACAGAGCCUUGGCGAGCUGAACAAUCUCCAAGACCUUCAUCUCACCUGGUCUAACAUAUCAGACCCUGACAAUCUGAAGAACAAUAUGCAAUGCCUGGGCUCAAUUCUCCGGAAACUCGGCAACCUCAAGUCUUUAACUUUAGUACGUGCAGCCUCCUCUCAUGCAGAUGUAACUCUAAUACGUGCAGCCUCCUCUCAUCCAGAUGUUUUAGACGAUGCUGGUGGUGCAAUCUUGGGUAUUUCUGGCGAUGUCUUGAGCAGCGUGUCCUCUCCCCCGCCCCUUCUUCAGAGGCUUGAGCUGUCAGGGCGCUGUUGCAUCUUUGCCAGCCUACCUGAGUGGACCAAAGAACUUGGCAAUCUCUGCAUUUUGAAGAUUUCAGUUAGGAAGUUGUUGAGGAAAGAUAUUGAUAUCCUCAAAGGAUUGCCAGCUCUCAUGGCUCUCUCGCUGUACGUUUGGACUGCCCCUGUAGGAAAGGUCGUCUUUGAUAGUGAGGGGUUCUCAAUUCUCAAAUACUUCAAGUUUACAUGUGCUGCCCCAUGCCUGGCAUUUCUGAUAGGAUCAAUGCCUAGCGUCCGGGAGCUUAAGCUAGCAUUCAAUGCUAAUAGAAUGGAGCAAUACAGCCAGAUAGUUGCUGGCUUAGAGUACCUGAUAGAACUUAAAGAGAUAACUGCAAAAGUUGGGGGCACUGGUGCGGAUGAAUCUGAUAAAAGGUACGCGGAGUCGGCAUUGAGGGGCGCCAUUGCCAAUCAUCCAUGCGCUCCUAUAAUCACAGUACAAUGUGUAGAUCGGAUUUUGUAUGGUGAGGACGAUAUGAGUGCCGUCACACAAGAACAAGAACACUGGACUCUGGAAGAAGAACAUGAGAUACAAGAGGAAUCACUUGAUCCUCUUCCUGAACUUAUUCCCAUUCCAAGCACACAAACACAAAUGAGAGAUGGAAGCCAGAAUGGUGGAACAGAUAGCUCAAGGGAGGUGCUGACACAAACAAGAGAGGAAGUUCAGGAUGAAUUAAUAGAAAGAUCGAUGGAGGUCCUGACACAUGAACGGGAACACUUAACUCUGGAAAGACAACACGAGAUUCAUGAGGAAUUGCUUGAUCCUCUUCCUGAAGUUGUUUCCACUUCAAGCACACAGACACAAGUGAGAGAGGAAGUGCGGGAUGGAGAAAUAGGGAGAUCGAUGGAGGUGCUGACACAAGAGCAAGAACAGUGUAUCGUGGAACAACAAGAUGAAAUGACAGACGGAGUGCUGGAUGUACAAAUAGGGACAUUGAUGGAGGUGUUAGCACAAGAAGAGCAAUGGCGGAAUAAUAUGCAGAAUAGUGGAAUCGGGAGAUCGAUGGCGGUGGUGAGCGCUUCCCAUGGCACCUUGGAUCCCCUACUGGACAAGCUCAAUGCUUUGCUCAGCGAGGAGUAUGGCAACUUGGAAGGUGUCCUCCAUGAAGUCAGUGCCCUCAAAUCUGAGCUGACAUUAAUGCAUACGGCGGUAAGAAAGUACACGAUGCUAGAAGAUCCAGAUGUCCAGGUGAAGUUAUGGCUAUCGUUGCUGAGGGAGUUUUCCUAUGAUGCAGAGGAUUACAUUGAUAAGUUCAUUCACCAGCUCGACAAUGGCGGACAUCAUGGCGGAUUCAAGCAGAUCUUCGGCAAGACUGCUUGCCAGCUGAAGACGCUUGGAUCUCAGCAUGAAAUUGCAGAAAAAAUCGAUGAGCUGAAAGAUCGUGCCAAGAACUUGAAAGCGAGUAGUUACAAGAUGGAUGAUACUGCUUGCAUCACAUCUUGCCAUUCCACCGUGGAUCCCCAGUUGGCUGCUCUUUUUGUUGAUUCUGCACACCUUGUGGGCAUUGACAGUCCAAGAGAUGAUCUUGCCAAGUGGACGGUCGAAGUAGGAAACAGCUCGGCCAAGCAUCAUUGCAGGAUGUUAUCUAUUGUUGGGUUUGGUGGAUUGGGAAAGACAACACUAGCGAAUGAGGUGUAUCGCAAGGCUAAAGGGCAUUUCCAUUGUCAGGCUUUUGUAUCAGUCUCACAAAAGCCAGAUAUAAAGAAAAUUCUCAUGAACUUGAUCUCCCAAGUGUCUCCCCAUGGAUUCACGAAAGAUACUUACAAUUGGGACAAAAUGAGAUUCAUUAGAGAGCUAAGAAAACUGCUAAAGGAUAAGAGGUAAUUUCAGCCCACAUUCUUUCCUGCAAAACAUGUAUCAUCUCAUGCGUAUUCUCAUUGAUUUUGACUGUAGUUACUGCUUGUACAAUUGUUUUUCUCAACGAACACCACUACGAUUCUAGCAUUACUUUAGUUUUUUACAUCAUGGCCUAUGCAGUACUAUAAUGUCCAAAUGAUGAGUACAAUAUUGUAUACACCUUGGUCCUGAAUUACCCUUCUGAAAUAUGGCUAAAAACGUCCAAUGCAGGAAACUUCUGUCAUAUGAAAGUAUGCAUAGCCAAAUAGCCAAUAACUAUUCCUUAUGUUCUCGUCUUAUCGAUAAUAUUGCCUUGAUUACUGUGCACUUAUAAUCGGAGGUAAAAAGAAAAAAACAUCAAGAAAUCGGUGUUAGUUAGAAGCACUAAACAGAUAUGCAAAAUGACUAACUGAACUAAAUUCCAAGACUUGGUAUGAGGAAGAUUAGAGGUGAGUUGUAGUAAGUAUAUUGCCCACCAUUACGUAUCAUCUUUGGCUCCUGAGUGGAUGCAACUUAAUAGUAACAAUCUGAUAACUACCCAUCCUUAUCAAACAAAUAUUAGUUGUUAAAUGAUGCUGUGAACUUCAGUUAAGUGGAUGCAAUACUGAUGUACGCAUAAAAUUGGAUAUGGAAAUAUAAGGAACAGUGGAACAAUAGCAUGAUGCACUUAAUACCCUCCGUUCCAAAUUAGAUGACCCAACUUUGUACUAACUUUGUACUCCCUCCAUUUUUGUAUACAUGGCCACUAUCAAAAUUACAAUUUGCAACUAUACAAGGCCACUAACAUUAAUCGAGGCAAAAUUAAUGGUGUUUGCCUCGUACUAGCACCCGGGGACAUUAAUAUCAUUUGCGUGCAUGCGGGAGUGAGAAGGUUGGCUUGCAUUCCCAACAUUAAUCAACCAAUGAGGAGUAAGAGGGUUAUCUUGUUGUGCGUGGUAGAGAAAAGCCUCAUUAAUUAACACGACAAACAAGCUGACAACCUAGCUUGCAACAUUGACUUAAACAUUGCAUUGAUUUUUACCUUGGUACCUGUAAUAUGGGUUUGUGGCCUUGUAUACAAAAAUAGAGGGAGUACUAAAGUUAGUACAAAGUUGAGUCAUCUAUUUUGGAACGGAGGGAGUAUUUGAGUACCCAUUGGAGUUUUAUGGAUUUUUUACCUUUUCUAUCUGAAUUACUUAGCAUAAUAAUUGAAUCUGUUUUCUAAUACUAGGUAUCUUGUUGUCAUUGAUGAUAUAUGGUCCAUAUCGGCAUGGAACAUUAUCAAGUGUGCUUUUCCAGAGAAUAACUGUUCUAGCAGAGUUAUAACUACUACACGCAUUAUUGAAGUUGCAAGGUCAUGUUGUAUGGGUCAAGAUGACCGCAUGUAUGAAAUGCAACCCUUAAGUGAUUUUCAUUCUAAAAGAUUGUUCUUGAGAAGAAUUUUUGGGUCCAAGGAUAGUCCCGAUAUGCUGAAAGAAGUUUCAAAUGAAAUUUUGAAAAAAUGUGGAGGCCUGCCGUUGGCAAUUAUCAGUGUAUCUAGUUUAUUGGCAAAUAGGCCAGCUAACAAAGAGGAGUGGGAAAAAGUUUGUGCAUUGGACAAAGACAUAGGUCUAGAGGAAAUGAACAGAAUACUAUGCCUUAGCUACAAUGCUCUUCCAGAUAAUCUCAAGACUUGUUUGUUGUAUUUAAGUAAUUUUCCUGAGGGCUGUGUGAUUGAGAGAGAGAGAUUAGUGAGGCGGUGGAUAGCAGAAGGCUUUAUCUCUGAAAAUCAUGGGCAGAGUCAGCAAGAGGUCGCAGAGUGGUAUUUCUAUGAGUUUAUCAAUAGAAGUAUGAUUCAAGCAGUGGACAUCCGCUAUGAUGGUAAGGCUCGUGCAUGUCGAGUCCAUAACAUGAUGCUUGAACUCAUCAUUUCAAAGUCAGCUGAGGAUAAUUUUGUCAUGGUGAUUCGUAGCAGGCAGACUGGUUUGGUAAAUCGCCAUGGUUGUAUUCGACGGCUAUCAGUCCAGCACAUUGACCAGAAUCUUGCAUCUGUAUUGGCAAAUGAAGAUCUAAGCCAUGUUCGCUCUUUAACAGUAACAUCAUCAAGUUGCAUCGAACACUUGCCUAGUCUUGCUUGCUUUGAAAAUUUGCGUGUACUAGAUUUUGAAGGGUGUGAUGGAUUGGAAAAGUAUCACAUGAAGGGUCUUGGCAAGUUUUUCCAACUAAAGUACCUGAGCCUUAGGGGCACUUGGAUAUCACAUCUACCAUCAGAAGUUGUGAUGUUACAUAAUCUAGAGACCCUAGAUAUUAGGGAGACACAUGUAGAAGAGUUGCCUGCUGAAAUUGUCCACCUUACGAAGCUACAACAUCUUAUCGCUUCAACAGAUUAUGUAAUGCCUGGAAUAAAGAUACCAGAUGGAAUCGGGAAUAUGAGGAACUUACAGGUAUUGUUGGGCUGUGGUAUCAGCUCGGGUUCUGUUGGUGCACUAGAGGAACUCGGUAACUUGACCAAUUUGAAUGAGCUCGAUGUACAGUAUUGGGGAAUAGGAUCCGAGUACAAGUGGCAUGAAGACAGGUUCCUCUCCUCAUUAAUCAAGCUUGGUAGCUGCAAGCUACAGUCUUUUAGGAUAUGGAGGAAGUGCCCUGGUGAUGUCAAGUUCUUAGAAUCAUGGUUCCCUCUGCCAUUUUCCCUCCAAAGAUUUGAGAUGAGCGGCUGCUACAGUUUCAAGUGGAUUCCAUGCUGGAUUUCACCAGCACUGACCAGUCUUGCAUACCUAGAAAUUAAUAUAGUGGAAGUAACGCAGACGGAUCUGUGCAUACUUGGAGAGAUGCCUGCCUUGCUUCACCUGAGGCUAACAUGCCGGACUUUCAGAAAAGAAAGGCUUAUUUUUUACGGCAGAGGAUUCCAGCAUUUGAAGGAAUUUGUUUACGAUGCUGCUGUAUUGCCAUCGGGAAACCUUCUGUUUAUGGAAGGGGCACUGCCAAUGCUCGAGGAUCUUAGCCUAAUCUACUGUGUAUCAAUGGUUAAUGCUUAUGGGUUUUUCUUGGGUAUCGAGCACCUCCCAAGACUGAAAAAUGCACAAAUUCACCUCUACAAACAGGGCGCGGCAUCUUCUGAUAUCGCUUCCGCAGAAGUUACUAUCAGGAAUGAAGCAGAUGACAAUCCCAACUGUCCCAGAGUAACUCUGGUAGAACAUGUAAAGAGGGAGGAUUAUUGCUCUGACGGCUGUCCUAACAGAACCGUGACAGAUCAAGGACUAGAUGCCAAUACAACUAACCAGAAGGUAUUGAUCAUUUUUUUUACCAAGUUUUAGUGGUUCAUGGUUACAACAAUCACUCCUUUGCUUUGACUGUUAUGCAUUUUAUCCAUUUUUUUGACUUUUUGACCCCAUAUUGCAGGGUGGAUCUCGAAAGGCAACAAAUCAAACUUCAAAUCGUUGAGAAACCUAUUUCUCAGCCGCGUGCCUUACCCUUUUUAGGGAACUUGUUAAAUUCAUGAAGAACUACAGGUGAGAUCUGGCAAGCUGCUGCUCGCUCGACUGGAACGCUCGAACAAAGCCUGGAAUGAAGCAGAUGCCCAUCCCAACCGUCCCGGAGCAACUCUGGUAGAACAUGCCAAGAGAGAGGAUAUUGCUCUGGCUAAUGAAUGUUCUAACGCAACUGUGACAGAGUUCCGCUGACAAAUCCAGAAUUAGUUGCCAAUACAACAGCUAAGCAAAAGGUAUUGAUCAAUUCUUUUACCAAGUUUUAGUGGCUCAUGGUCCCGACAAUCACUCCAGUGCUGUCUCUGUUGUGCAUUUUAUCCAUAUCACUGAGACGCCUAUUUCUCAGCCGUGUGUCUCCUACCCUUUUUAGGAACUUAAAUUCAUGAAGUACACUACUAGUGAGAGCUGGCGCGCUGCUGCCCGCUCAACUGGAACGCUGUGGUGAAGCCUAGAACGCUCGAGCAAAGGGGCCAGCCCCAGUUGGAGGGGUCAUAAAUGCUAUUCCCUCUGUCCCAUAAGUGUCAAAAAACGUCUUACAUUAUGGGACGGAGCGAGUAUUUUCUAUGUGAUACUAUGAGAAUUUUGUUGUUGUUGAACUCUGUAUGCGAUUGUUUUAACUGAUUAAGAAUUAAGCUUGCCUCUUGGGCUGGAGCCUUGGUCUUAUUUACUGGAGUAUUCUCUUUUGUGUGUGUUGUAAGUUUACCCGGUGACUUUUAUCAACCGAAGAGAUGGAAAUGUACAGGAGAUGCAGGCUCUUCAUGGACCCUGUAUGCAUGCUUCUUUACAUCCCCUCUUGUGGCAUUUGCAACAAGGCAGGCUGGCCAUCUGAAAUUUACAAUAUUCUCUGGUGCACUUUUACAAUAUGAAUUGUCGUCCAACUGUUUAAAAGCAUGGGAUUGCAAAAGGCUCUGAAUGUUGGCCCUGUGUAUUGAAAACUCUGUAGAGGCCAGCUAUCGCACGGUUGGUUUAUAAGGUGUAAUACGUAUUUCGUGAUUUACUUCAUGAGUUAGACCAGAGAUAUGUUUUUCUUCUAUAAACUUGGUCAAACUUUACAGAAGCCGACUUAGAACAAAGCUAACACGUCUUGAUUUCAGACAUGAGGAACUAGAUGAUCGGGUUCACAGAAAUGAAACAGAUAGACAACGCCAUCAUUUACGGCAAACAUCACUUACACAGAAAUGAACAUGAUAAUUACUUGCACAGAAAUGAACAUGAUAAUUUUCUGGACAUAAUGUCAAGGCUCUGCUCUUGCUCAGGCUGCAGGAAAUCCCCAGUCUAGAUGCUACAGUUGAUUUGAUGUAUUGAAAAGAUAUGAACAUCUAAAAUACCUAAAUAAAUACUCCCUCGGUAAACUAAUAUAGGACGUUUUAGAGACUUGUGUAGGGAGUACAUACACUAGGGAAACACGGUUGAAGAUUUAUCAGCUGACGUUAAUUUGGUAUGGUAUUUUCUCGCUAAACUUUGGUCAGAGUUCACAAGGUUUGGCUCAGAAGUCAGAACAAAACUGACAUGUCAUGGAACGGACGGAGUAGAUAGUUACAUUCACAAAAAUGAACCUAGUAAACAAAUCAUUUACGGUGAACAACGCCCCCCCUCUUCACAAACUAGACAAAAAAGACAUCAGUUUGAGCAUGGCUACAAACUUGCAGCAGCAGCAUAGAAACCCAGCGGCCAGCUGUCGACUCAGUUUGCGCUACAGAUAUAUAGCUAAAAUUUAUCCACAACAAAUAAAAAAACAAAAUGGAGACCAACAUGCCACAUGACAACGCAUGACCGAAAUAAUGAGGGAAAAGGCUAGAUGCAUAUCCAUCUAGGGUUGCUGCAGGUAUAGCAAACUAGCCAUAUCAUAUUUGUCGCAGAUUUAAUCAAAUGCAUUAUUAUUUAGUUCUCUUCACAUGAAGAGGAUGACCAAAGCCUAUCAGGAUACAAAACUAGGAGGAUCACCAUCUAGAAUUUUUUUUGAAACCGUAGAAACCAAUGAAUCUCUGCAUAUCAGAAGAAAAACGAGCCUCUUCUGAAGAUAGACAUAACAGGGGAACUCAGUUUCAUUCCGGAACAAGAUUGCUCUAGAAAGAAAAGCUGGCCAUUGACUCUAGCUAGCAAAGAUCGGAUCACAAAACGAUAGAAGCUUCCACCAGAGUUUGUCUUUAGUCACAAUGCUCAUGAUCUCACUCCAGCAUCUUACUUAGCUGAUCUCACCUUCAUCCUUGAGCAAGAAGCCGCUCCACAGCAGCGAGGUCUCCUCCUUCGAGCAGGCCGUGGUGACGAUGGUCACGUUGAACCCUCCGAUGGUCUCAAAGAUCUCAAAGUGGUCCUCUAUCUCGGGGGAGAACUCGCAGAACUCCGUGGCCAUGAAGAACUUUACGCAGUUCCUCUGCUCGAUCGCCACCUUGGAGUCCAGCAUAGACAUCACCGUCAGGACCCUGACCAGGAAGUUGUACAUCCCGUGCCCUCGGAUGAUGCUCUGCCUCAGGGACACGGCGUCUUUCUGGGACCCCAGGUAUGCGUUGGUCGCCUUCCCUUUCAGAUGGGCAGGCAGUUCUGCCUGUAUGCACCUCUGGCCGCACAGAAUCUCCAUGGCCAGUUUCCCAAACUGGAUUUUGGCACCGGUGGUAGACUUGGGCACCAGUCGGAUCUCAAACAACCCAGGGACCUCCAUGGUGUUGGUGUGGUUCAGUUUGAGCAACAGAUCCUCACGCAACACAUCUUCAUAGUGGAAAUGGAGUGGGAACAUCAUGGCUUUUCCGCUUUUCGCGCCCUUGGCCUUUUUGCCCACCCGCCGUUUCUGUACAAACAGAUUAUUUAUUAGCAAUUUCCACCAUAAAUCAGUACUAAUCCACUACCAAUUGAAGGCAUCAUCAACGAAAUCACAACAUUAGAUGAAUUGAACAUCACAUGAUUAACCACACUUUGUCACUGCAUAACCCUCUUACAUUUUUCUCUAAUUCUUCCCCAUUUUAAAACAUAUACAAAAAGCUAAGUUGAAUCUGUAUGACGGUUACAGAAGAUAUAUAUUGAUAUGUCAUGGCUUAGCGUGACAAGUGUAAGCACUUUUUUUUUCUGAUCUCUUCUCAAUUCUUCAAGUAUCAUCAUCUCUACAUGAUAUUUUUCACAGAAUGUCUGCUGUUUUCUAAACUAGUAGCAGACUGUCGAUAUGAGAUUCAAUGGAUACAAUAUGGACAACCAGUAGAAGCAUGUUUCUAUCUGGUAGCAUUUAGUUACUUCCGUUUUAUUUUUAUUUUCUAUUUACAAUGUUAUGAAAAACUUUCGGCCAAGAAAAUGUUAAAACCUCUGCUGCUAUUCUACAUAUUUGGUCACAUAGCAGAUGUGGUUUUAAUUAUGUUUGACCUGAAUUAGUUCAGCACUUGGACGCUAGAUCAUUUUGUAUUAACUUAAUUAAUGGAAAAGUUACCUCUGAUUGACUACUGUGAUAAUUGAAUCAACUGAACUAUUUCUACUCUCUUUUCUCUACCAUCACUUUUAAACUCUUCUUUAUCCAGGCCAGCCAUCCAACACUUAUGUAAGAUUUCAAACUUUCAGCUACACGAUAUAGCAUGCUAUUCUCUAUUGACACCGUUUCCUCCGUUUACUAUCGGAUGCAAGAUGCUGCGAUAUGAGCAUUGCAUGCUGGCCUAGCAAUAAAGAAUGAGUUCAAAUUUCUCUGUUGUUAGGCAUAUGAAAAUCCAGUUGUAAUGGUGGUAUGCUGUCUUGAAAGAUAGUCCACUACACGCAUGAAUACCCAAUCCUUGUUUGCUGUGCUCUGUUUUUGGUGAAGUACAAGGCGGAUAAUGUCUAGCAAUAUCAGAAUGCAUGUAUUCGUGGAUAGUUCAUUAUAUAUAGUUAUAUACACAGAAAGUAGUGCAGUGCUGUUAGCCUGUAAAGCUCAUAUGACGUCCACAAAGUACACAAUUUAAGACAUUAUGGUGUGUGGUUCAAUUUAACAAAUGCAAUGUAUUGCCAGGGUAGAAUAGACCCACAAUCUCCCCUUGGUAAUAUCAUUCUGGUUUUCUGGUGCUAUUCUAAUAUGCUAGCUUUGAUUAUCUAUUGUACUUGCAUUUAUCCAGACCAAGAAAAGGAGGUGUUAUUUUUUCUCUGUGCUAAACUAUAUCCAUAUGGAUAUCAGCUAACUAUACACAUCAGUCAUUUCGUCCCGCGAUGGGCUGCUCGUUGACGAGUGCUCAUAGUGGGUUUCCCAGUGAUGCUUUGAUCUCGCCUUACCCCUUUCUCGUUUCCUUAUGCUGUAAUCGCUUAUGCUGGGCUGGUGUUCGCUGAAUGUUGAACUUUGUAUUUCCGUUAUGCAUUUAAUGGAAAGGGGUUGUGGCCCGGGUCAAAAAAAAAAAAUACACAUCAGUCAGGGCCUCACUUGCCGGCUCAGCAAAGCACGCAUAUUCUGUUAGCUGCUACUCAUACACAGACGGAUCCUACACUCACACACAAUUAGCACAACAUGACAGAUUCAGGGAGGGGAGUAACACACCUGCACUUCCAUGACAGGGAGAUCUGAAUCGACAUCGGCUGCUGCAGGGCUUGAGCUGCACACAUAUAGCACGAAAAGAAAAUUCUUUCAGCUCUUUCCACAAGCAAGAGGCAGGCUGGCAUGAGAGACUUGAGAUAGCAGCAGGAGAUGUACCUGAAGGCGCGGGCGAGUGGUGCAAGCCGCGAGAGCAGAGGAGGCACUCCGGCGUGCUGGCGCGCCCUGUAAGCCGCCUGACCAACGAAUCAAGGCCACAUCCACGCGCGGUGAGACCGCGAAACGCAGGCGCAGAUACAUCAGAUCAGUUCAGAGAUGGAUGCUGUAGACCCCCUGUGGAGAAAUUGCCCCGAGAGGAACGCGCGGGCGGGAAGGAAGCUGACCUGGGAGAUGGCGGCGGAGGCGAGGGCGUGGCGGCUGGACCUGGACGCGGCUGCGACGAGAGACCCGAUGGCCAUGGCUGCUGCCGCUCUCCCCAGCGAGCCCGCUAGGCGGACGGGAGAACGCGUCUGCGAAGCGAACGAGCGGCGAAUGGAGGCGGACCGCCGCCGGAGACGAGAGACCGGGUGACGGCGGGGCGGGNNNNNNNNNNNNNNNNNNNNNNNNNNNNNNNNNNNNNNNNNNNNNNNNNNNNNNNNNNNNNNNNNNNNNNNNNNNNNNNNNNNNNNNNNNNNNNNNNNNNNNNNNNNNNNNNNNNNNNNNNNNNNNNNNNNNNNNNNNNNNNNNNNNNNNNNNNNNNNNNNNNNNNNNNNNNNNNNNNNNNNNNNNNNNNNNNNNNNNNNNNNNNNNNNNNNNNNNNNNNNNNNNNNNNNNNNNNNNNNNNNNNNNNNNNNNNNNNNNNNNNNNNNNNNNNNNNNNNNNNNNNNNNNNNNNNNNNNNNNNNNNNNNNNNNNNNNNNNNNNNNNNNNNNNNNNNNNNNNNNNNNNNNNNNNNNNNNNNNNNNNNNNNNNNNNNNNNNNNNNNNNNNNNNNNNNNNNNNNNNNNNNNNNNNNNNNNNNNNNNNNNNNNNGGGCUGGGCUUUUUUAUUUUUUAGUUUCUACCGUGCGACUGCAACAGGCCCAGAAAUGGCCCGAGCUCUCUUUGAGCCCAAGCUAGCGAUAUGUUAUUAUCUCAAAAAAUAUAUUGCAGUUCGCAAACAAAAUCCCCUAAAACAAAUCUCAAAAAUUAUAUAGUGAUAUUGCGUGAUCUAUGAGCUUAGCUUUAUAAAGCCCAUUUUAUCCAGAGAGUGACGUCAACUAUAUGAUAUUAGCUAUUAUUCCCUCCGCUCCUAAAUAUUCCCUCUGUAAACUAAUAUAAAAGCGUUUAGAUCACUACUUUAGUAAUCUAAACACGAUCUAAACGCUCUUAUAUUAGUUUAUAGAGGAGUACAAGUCUUUUUAGAGAUUUCAAUAUAGACUACAUACAGAGCAAAAUUAGUGAACCUACACUUUUAAACACAUCUAUAUACAUCCGUAUGUAGUCUAUAUUGAAAUAUCUAAAAGGACAUAUAUUUAGAAUGGAUGGAGUUCAUCGUUGCAAGAAUGCCUCGUUCAACAACCCCCAUGUGGAUCCUAUCAUAGAGGAAUUAUGUUUGACGACCCUCCAGUCAGGGAAUCUAAGGCCCAUCGUGACCUGCUGCUAGUCGUCGUCGACAUCCUUAGGAGUCAGGGUCAUUUCUACUAGCAGCAAGGUCAAGAAAAAAUGUUGGUAUCCGCAAAAAAAAAUGUUGGAGAACACCGGAAAAGGCGUGCGCGUGCUUAGUUUGUGUGAGGGGCAUUACGACACCGUGUUGGGCGUCCUCAACAUAUGCAAUGCCAUGAUCAGGGAUUACCAAUGCAAUGAGGGCGGGCUACAGUCCAAAGAGCUAGUUAGUUGUGUGGAUAUGGCAUAUGAUUGUGUUGAUGAGUGCGGCUACGAGCUUAUUGAUAUGCCUGCGGUGGGGACUCUGGUCGAUGAAAACAAUGAAUUGGGCAUGCUGGUUAAACUGAACACUCCCUUGGUAGCAUCACAAGUGAUGUUUCUCGAGUAAUAUAAUGAUUGCUUUUAUCUAGGAGAGAAUAUGUUGAUGAGAAAUUAAUUGUACUCUUAAUAAUAACUAUAAUAAAUAUACUAAUAAAGCUGUUGUGGCAUCUAUUGUACUCUGAUAUAUUAGUAUGCAUGGUUCUGAACAUUUUCUUUAUUUUGCUAUGACAAGAGCUAGGAUUUUUCAUGAUUUUAAAUUAUGAAAUCAUUUUUUGCAAUUGACUUUCCUUUUAUUAUUUAAAGAAUAUGGGAUGCAGGAGUUUACACAUUUAAAAUUAUCAAAUAAUAUUCUUUUCUGUAAUUCAGUUUUCUUUUAUUUGCUUGGCACCCUUAUGCCUAACGAAUCAAUUACGGAACUACCCGAAAUUAGUCUGAAAAAAUAUAUUACCUUCAUAUUACCAAUGUGAAUAGUUUGUAGAGUAUAUCUAAUUUUUCAUUUUUGUUAAAUCUGCGCGAAGCCAUUCCAACCAGUAAUGCACAAGCAAAUUUGGACCUUAAGAGCAUCUCUAACAGCAUACCAAAAAAUGCAGCUUGAACAGAAAAAAUGAUUUAGGAGUAGUAUAUUUGGGUCUCUCUACUAGCAGGCGACAAAAAACCAAAUAACAGUAGCGACAGAAAACCAAAUAACGGUAGCGCUAUGUCUCAGUGGCCGAGUUCGGUCGUCGGCUACCUCAAGCCCCGACGCCCACCGAGGUCACUAUGCCACUGCCAUGUCCCGUCUUAAAUGUCUAAACGGUCUUACAAAAGUGAACAGAGGGAGUACCUUGUAUUACCAAUGUNNNNNNNNNNNNNNNNNNNNNNNNNNNNNNNNNNNNNNNNNNNNNNNNNNNNNNNNNNNNNNNNNNNNNNNNNNNNNNNNNNNNNNNNNNNNNNNNNNNNNNNNNNNNNNNNNNNNNNNNNNNNNNNNNNNNNNNNNNNNNNNNNNNNNNNNNNNNNNNNNNNNNNNNNNNNNNNNNNNNNNNNNNNNNNNNNNNNNNNNNNNNNNNNNNNNNNNNNNNNNNNNNNNNNNNNNNNNNNNNNNNNNNNNNNNNNNNNNNNNNNNNNNNNNNNNNNAUAUGGAUAAAGCCAGGCCAUUCCAACCAAUAGCACCAUUGUUUCUUGUAGACUAGAUAUUGCAAUUGUUUACCAAAUCCAAGAGCAAACUUGGAACAAAAAAGCAUCUCCAACAGCGCAUCGAAAAACACAGUUGUGAGAAAAACUGCUCCAUGCCCUCAACAACUGACCAAAACCUACAUGGAGACCAGUUUUUGUCACAUCCCAAAAAUUACUAUAGGUUCCCCCAAAAAAUUGCUACAGGAGUGGUACGUUUGGGCUUCUACUAGCAUGUGUAAAAAAAGGUGGUGCCAAACCUAACCACCGCCUCGUCAGGACCACCACGCGGCCCACAUCCUGACUCCGCCCCAUUUUGUCCCUCGACGUUGUCUGUCGGAGCCGCCCUAACACCCGACGAGGUCGCCACACUGACGCCCAGUCCCGUAGAUUUCGAUCGUUUCCUAGUUGUCACCGCCGCCGCGUCGCACCAAGAUGGUCGCCGUCACCACCCGACGAGCUCGAAUAGGAGACGGACAAGGUCCUGCGGCCGAAACUGCCAUCGAUGCACCCCCCCACCCCCACCCCUCGGGCCAGCCUUCGACCUCCCUUCUGUCGCCAUCCGGCUUCGCUCUCAUCACCGUUGAACUCCGGAAGUGAGCCUGGCGCACCCAACCCAACGUGUUCGACGAAAUGCCACAAAGGAAUUAUUAUGGAAUAUGAGUGUAGUUGAACUCCGGAAGUGAGCCUGGCGCACCCAACCCAACGUGUUCGACGAAAUGCCACAAAGGAAUUUUUAUUGAAUAUGAGUGUAGUUGCGGUAUGCUAUGAAUAUUGAUAGCUAAAAUAGAUGAUUUUACAUUGAAUUGUAAAUUGCCAUGAUUUUACAUUGAGCCGAAAUUGACAUUUUCUUUCAGUUUUUGGUCUGCUGGGGAAAGCAGAAUUUUUAUUGGAGAGAAAAAACCUUCUCUCUCCACUCCUAAAACCAGUUUUUGGUCUCCAAUGUUUUUUUGUCUGCUGUUAGAGAUGCUCUAAGCAGAGCAGACCCAUACCCAUUCCACUGUGACUUGAACAUUCGCAGUAACAAAAACGGUCAGAGAUUCAACAGUUUGUACACAGUCAUCAGUACCUACGACUUCAGAAGCUAGAACACACUUCCAAUGCUGCAACUGGCAAAAGAAAUUGUACGCGAGGAUACCACGCAGUCAGAAAAUCACAGCUUACAACAUGGCAUCAGCAUUGAGAAAAGCGAAUACAUCUGGUCUAGACAUGAGACUGCCGACACGCCGGGAGCUGUACCAAGCAUUGAACAAGCGAAUGCAUCUGGUCCACACGUCACCUUCUCUUCCUUGGAACCAACUCCUUUUCGACACGGCGUCAGCAUGUGUGGACAGAAGGAACAACACGAACUUUCUAUAUGAGCAAGGAACCAGUAAGAAUACGAGGCUGUCAAGUAGGAGUACAUAUAAUGGGCGGCAAAUAUAUCAGCUGCAGCAUGUCCAAAGUUUUCGAGUCGUUCUGAGGUAGCGACUCGUGAAUAGUUGAGCAUACAGUUGCGACUAGUCAUUUGACUCACAAACAGGGAGCAUGUCGACAGUGGAUAUUACAUUGCCCGGUAACGCUGUGAAUUACGUGAAAAGAACCUACCAAUUAGGGAUUAGCCUUCAAAUAUGUACCACUCCCUCCGUUCCUAAAUAUUUGUCUUUUUAGAGAUUUCAACAAGUGACUACAUACGGAGCAAAAUGAGUGAAUCUACACUCUAAAAUAUGUCUAUAUACAUCCGUAUGUGGUAGUCCAUUUAAAAUCUCUGAAAAGACAAAUAUUUAGAAACGGAGGCUGGUUUCAACGGCGCGCCGCCCCUCUCCCCCACUUGCUGCUCCUCCGUCGCCGGAUCACUUGGCUCUCUGUUGGCGCGCCGCCGCGGGAGUGAGGAGGGGAGAAGGAAAUGGGGAUCGUAUCAGGGGCCAGCUAGGGUUGGUUCAUGUGGGAGUUGGGCUGAUUCAACCUCAUGUGGGCUGGUUUUGGCAACAUGGUUAUUUUGGUCAUGCAUUUUGCACUGCAUAAUAAUAUGAAAAUUCACUUAAAAGGCAUAAUACCCCUAAAAAAGCAUAAUAAUAUGGAAAUAUGUUUAAAUCGUAUAGAAAUUGUCAAAUAGUGGAUUUCUUUUGGUAGAAGGAUCAACACAAUUUCUUAGAAGAGUUUUUGGCAAAAGAUCAACACAAUUUCUCAUAAGUGCAACUGCCGCUUUUUAGGGCAAGCGCAUAGCCAUGCAAUGGAGAGAAAACGGUGGAGAUAGGCCUAAUCGUUUUUCUGUUGGGGGAAAAAAGGAAAAUGGAUGAGAUCACGCGGAGACAUAACAGCUCUGGGAUUUGGUGAAUCCCCCUCUUCCACUCAAUCCCCUCACAUCCCCCAACUGGCACAAUCGCCUCCAUAUAUAACACUGUUUGGUAGGGAGGGAUUGCCAUAUUGAAUCAAAAAUGAUGCAAAACAGUUAACAAUCCAAUCUUGACAGGUUAAAUAGCAUCAUAGCUAGACAAACUUGCUAUAAAAUUGUAAAUGUCACCUAAUAAAAAC